UCUUACUGGACCUCUCCCAUCACUGCUUGGAAAUAUGGAAGCACUCCAAUCUUUAGAUUUGUCUUCAAAUCAACUGACAGGGGCUAUUCCACCUCAGUUAACCGCAUUGACAUUUCUAGAAGUCUUAAACCUCUCGAGAAACCAUCUUAGUGGAGAGAUUCCUGAGAAAGGACAGUUCAGCACAUUCAACAAUGACUCUUAUCUAGAAAACUCUGCGUUAUGUGGAUCACCCUUGACGAAGAAAUGUGUAAACACUGCAUCACCCCCACAGGAAGUCGGAAAUGGUGAUGAAGAUGAUGCUGGUGAUGAGUUGACAUGGGAAGCAAUCGUGAUGGGAUAUGGAUGUGGACUGAUAUGUGGAUUGUCAUCUGCAUACAUUGUUCUCAAACUAGGAAGGCCUUGGUGGUUUGUGAGAUAUGUCGAAGUACUGCAACUGAAGUUGAUGAAAAGAUAUGCAUGAAGAAAGGUACUGGUCGAUCAAGACAAACUUGAAAGUUGUUGUCCUGGUAGACAUUUCUGAACCAGUAGUGUACUAGCUGCAUAAGUAUUUGGUAUUAUGUAAUAAUCCAUUUGGUCGGGACUCAUAAUGAUUUCUCUUGCUUCAGGGGUAUUAAUAUUAACCUUGCUAUCUUGAUCUGUGUUAAUGCAAAUGAAAAAGAAUGGAAAAACAAAAAAAUUGCAUCAAACCUGUUGUACCAAGAUCCAUUAAUCUGCUUUCAUCUCUUACGCAACAAUUUAACAGCACUUUCACACUGUUUGAAUGAUUAUCAUAAAUUCGAGUUUUCCUCGCCAGCACCAAAUCCAAAUAUACAAUCCCACACAUUCCAGUCUCAGCUUCAGCUCCCAGGCUAGCAUUGAUUUAGCCAAGCACGACAGUGGCCGCUUGUGUGCCUAACAAUGACAGUUGGGGAUUUGAUGGAACGUGCCUUGGUCCUGCCUUCAAAUGUCUAACAAUAACAGUUGGAUAUGUCGACAAAAAAAUUGUUCCUCACACUGAGGAAUAACUCUGACAGUUCUUUUCAUUGUGCCUUGGUCCAGUAAGUGGAAGGAGCACAUCACAUCCAUUCCCCAAGUUGCGGAUUCUAGAUCUCUCCAACAACCAAUUCACGGGCUAUUUGCCAAUUCAAUACUUUAAGAAUAUAUGAAACCAGCUGCUGAUAAAGCGUAUAGUUAUCAAAAUAAGUCACAAGGACUAAUUAAUUACAUAUAUGAAGCCUCUAUCUCCUUAAAUGUGAAAGGAACAGAGUAUGAAGUGAAAAACAUCUCUUUAUAUUAUAGCUCCUGAUGCGUGAUUUGUACAGUUACCACACUGCUUAAUUCUUCACCUCAAAGUUCCACCUUAUUACAAAAAUGCCACCGCUCUAUUAAGCGGCACCCACGUAAGCUCAUUGCCACCACGUGCUAUCUUCCUGCUGUCUUUUGUUUAUUUUAUUCACUAAACCGUACUUACCCGAAGCUUAUGUAACAAGCUUACAUUCUUUACAUUUUACUCAUUUCAAAAUUUAAAACCCAGCCUCCACGGCUCCCUUACAAAAGUAACCGGUUUGAACGUAAAGUUUUCAAAACUAACCAGCCUACGUUCAACUUUUCAAAACUAACCAGCCUAAAUCAAAAAAAGUCGGGCGACCCUUACCUGUUUUUUUCCCGAGCACCGGUCGCCCUCCUCAGGGGCGUCCCCCAUUGGAGUUCAUCAAGCACAGGUCGCCCUCCUCAGGGGCGUCCCCCCUUGAAGUUCUGUGACGUGGUCCGCCCAAUCACGGGCGACCACGUGUGACACUACCCCCUUAAAACCCCCUCCCAGCCACACAAACACACAAUUACACACACAUUUGCACACACUCAGUUUGAAAACAACACUGCAGCAGCCACAGCAAGGAGCCGAAAGGGGAGAUUUUGGUAAAGGAAGGAAGAAAAGUGGGAGAGGAUCGCCCGAGCUAGCAUCAAGGUCGCCCACCCUAGCAAAAAAUUUGAAGGUACUACCUUAUUCCUCCCCUAAAUAUUAGUAUAUAAAGCCUUGAUUUGUAAUUUAUUACUUGAUUAGUUUGUCUUGCAUGUUACAAAUAUCGAUUAUGUUCAUGAUUAUGGCUAAUUUAUAGACUAGUGUUAUAAUUACCGGCUUGAGAUUAGUGUUAUAAUUACCGGAUUGAGAUUUGGUACAUUAUGAUUUUUAAAUUUGUUAAAAAAUUUAAAGAUUUAUAAUAGAAAUUAAGGAUAAUUUAUAGAUUUGAUAUGUUGGAAUUUAAGAUUUUAUGCUUUUUAGAUUUUGUAGGUAGUAAUUAAAUUUAGUUGGAGAGAAAAAAUAUAAUAUAAUAUUCGAAUUAAAAAGAUAUUGAGAAUAUAAUAUUCGAAUUAAAAAAUAUUCGAAUUAAAAUAUAUUAAAAUAUAAUAUUCGAAUUAAAAAUAUAAUAUAAUAUUCGAAUUAAAAUAUAAUAUAAUAUAUAUUCGAAUUAAAAAAUAUUCGAAUUAAAAUAUAUUAAAAUAUAAUAUUCAAAUUAAAAAUAUAAUAUAAUAUUCGAAUUAAAAUAUAAUAUAAUAUAUAUUCGAAUUAAAAAAUAUUCGAAUUAAAAUAUAUUAAAAUAUAAUAUUCGAAUUAAAAAAUAAUAUAAAAUAUAUUGAGAAUUAAAAAAAUUAGAAAGCAAAUAAAAUAUUCGGAUAAAAAAGAUAUUAAUAGCUAAUAUUAAAAAAAAUCGAUUUAUAAUAAUAAAAAUUCGAAAAAAAGCAAAAUAAUCGAAUUAAAAUAAAAUUUUCGAACAUAUAUUAAUAAAAAUCUUAAUUAUAUUAAUAUAUAAUUCGAAUAUAUGAAAUUUCGAGAAUUAGAAUAUUUAUGAAAUUAAGAGAAUUAAAAUAAAUAGGAAAUUCGAACAAAAAUUAAUUUAAGGUACGCUCUCGAUUCUCUCUAAAUUAAUGUGUAUAUAUAUAUAAUGACUUGAUUUGGAUUAUUGUUGUUUUAUUAGCUUGAGUUGCAUGUUAUAAGAUCGGUUAGUUUAUUGAUUGUGGCUUGAGAUUUGUUAUAAUUGAAAUUAAGGCUAAUUUAUAGAUUUGAUAUGUUGGAAUUAAGGCUAAUUGAAAUUAAGGCUAAUUUAUAGAUUUGAUAUGUUGGAAUUAAGGCUAAUUGAAAUUAAGGCUAAUUUAUAGAUUUGAUAUGUUGGAAUUUAAGAUUUUGUGCAUGUUAGAUUUUGUAGGUAGUAAUUUAAUUUAGUUAGAAACAAAAGCUUUGAAUUCGAAUUACAAAUAUUAUGUUGGAAUGAGAUUUUGUAUAUAUACAAAAGCUUUGAAUUCGAAUUAUAAAUAUAUUUGAAAAUUGUUGGCGCAGAUGGAUCCUGCAGCUUAUCAUCCCGGGCCGGUUAACGGCACUUUGUUGACAUUGCAGGACACGCAUAGGUCCACUUUUGUGUGGAACAGUAGUACGGUAAUGACUUGAUGGACUGUUGUUUAUUAAAGUUAAUGUUUGCUUCACUAUAAACUGCUGACAAGUUCCUGUAUUUUAAAUUGCAGGACAUUCCUGAUCUUAGAGUCAGGACGAACUUCGGUGAGUACUGGAAUGUAGUUGACCAAACCAGGCCGCCUCAGACGAUAAUAGAUGCUAUUAAUGAUGCGGGCUUUGAGUGGGUGUUCAGGUUGGGUCAGGUCAAGCAUGACAGGGGCUUGAUCACUGCUUUUAUCGAGAGGUGGCGUCCAGAGACGCACACUUUUCAUCUACCUUUCGGGGAGGCCACCAUUACACUGGAGGAUGUCCAUCACAUUCUCGGGUUACGAACCACUGGCCGGCCAUUUAUUCUACAUGGCUUCACCACCACAGCUCGCGAGAGAUUGGCCAUGAUACGCGAUGUUCUUGGAGUGACUCCUAAGCCGGCUGAUGUGAGGAAGAACGGCUUGAGGAUCGGUUGGUUGAUUGAAAAAUUUGGCGACUGUGCCCGGUUGGACGAGGCAGCGGAGGAUUUUGAUGCACAGACUAUCUUUCACAUCAGGGCACACCUACUGUGUGUUAUUGGAUCGUUGUUUCCUGAUAGCAGCGGGAACUAUGUGAAUCUCAACCUCCUUUGGAUGCUACGUGACUUGCAGAGCGUGGAUGGUUAUAGCUGGGGGAGUGCUGUUCUUGCAUACCUUUAUAGGAAGAUGUGCGAUUCCACCCAUAAAGUCACAACCGGCUUCAUUGGCUACGCCACCACUACGCCAUAUAUGAUCUAUCGCAAUGGUAUGAACGCGAGUGUUGCAAAAUUAUGUUGCAAUAGAGACACUGAUCCAUAUCUACCGCAACGAUAACCAUUCAUGUCAAUUAUAUGUUGCAAUAGCAAACAUUAUGUGUUGCAGCUUGUAAUAUACUUGUAAAAGUGUUAGCUUAAAGUAUUAUAAUAUUAUUUUAACAUUAAAUAAUAAUUUAAAUUAUUUUAACAAUAUUUUAAAGUGAUAUGCAAAUUAAAUAAAUAAGAUACGCGAUGAUAUGCAAAUUUUAUUCAUAAUAAUUAAAAAAAUUAAAAUAGGAAUUUUAAAAGUAAUUAAUUUUUUUAAAAGCAAUGAAAAGUAAAAAUAAUUAAAUUCCCCUUGUUUUGAUAUCAGAACUGAUAUAUAAGUUUCAAAAAUAAAAAUAUAGAUAUACGAAUUAUAAGUAGUAAUAAAUACAUAUAAUGAAUUUUGUUCCUAAAAUAAUUACAUGAAUUUUAUUUGUUAAAAUAAUAAAGUAUAGGUGCAGACGUGCAGUACAUUAUUUGACUUUAUUGAACUGGGCAAAUAUCGAGCUCAAAGCGGGUAAAAAUUAGGCUUACAGCCGCCCAAAUUUUCAGCCAAGUUUGAAAUUUUCACACAUACACUAUACACGCUCGAGUCUCCUUGAAUACCCUCAACACUCACUACACUCUCUCCCUCGCUCAACUCUCUCUCCCUUCUCUACUCUCUCUCUCUUGUUAAUCUCUCUGAAGCUAAUCUCUCUCUGGCCACCAUUUUCACUCAAUCUCGCCAUCACUUUUAAUUAACUUGGAUUUGCAUUUAUAGUUGGAGCACAGUUGAUUUGUGGGUCGAGGUUCCAAUUCUUCAAUUAGGGUUUUGGCUUUUCAAUCAGGGUUUUGGUUCUUCAUUAAACUUCAAUUAGGGUUCAAUUACUUACAUAUAAUCUCUUAAACUUCAUCUGAUAUCUCUUUCUCUUUGAUUUCAGGUGUUCUUAGUUUGGGUUUGCACUCCAAGACUUUAUUAUAAGGUAUUUUUGAAUUUAGGGCUUCAUGUUAUGAGUUUAUUUGCAUUUAGUGUUCUUUGUUUUUAUGUUUAUUUGGUUUAUUAUCUUUAUCUAGUUUAUUUCCUUUGAUUUUUUGUUUUUUUUUUCAUUUGUUUUGUGAAAUUGCAAUACUCUGUUUUUGUGUUAAUUUUUUUGUUGCUUAAAAGUGUUCAACAACAAUAUUCUUCUUAAUUAUAAAAGAUCUAUCACGAGGAAGAGGUCCCUGUUUUGUAUAAUAUCUUGUAUGUCUUUUCUUUUCUGUAUAUUAUUAAGCUACCUUGGGGCAUCCUUUUUCUAGACCAGAUUUCGUGCGCAAUCUUUAGUAAAGAGCAAAUAUUCCGAUUCUUUUGCAUUUGUCUCAAUGUCAGUGCUUUGCAUAUAUGGAUAUAUUUUACAUGAAAAUGGUGCUUUUGUUGUUGGCCUGCUUAAUGUUCAAGACAUGUAGUCAACUCAGUUUAGUGUGACAAUAAGACUUUCUCAUUUCAUUAUGAUUCUCACAUAUUUUAUGCUCGUCACAGUACAACACAGUUUUGUAUUUGGUGUGAGUGAGCAGUAAAGAAUUCUAUGGAAGAUGCUAGUGACUACCGGUGGUAUAUAACCAGGUAAAAAUAAUGCUCAGUUGAUAAUCCUUAUAAGGGAGGCUCUUACUAUUUCUUCCUCUUUAACAUUGAGUUGUUUUAAUGUACAUACUAGCUGGUUGCUCAAGUGUUCUAUCAUUAUAAUGUAUACAUUGGAUACAAUAUUUGUUCAAUGAGGUAUCUAACUAGCUUGCUGAUGGCCGGGGACUAUAGAUUUAUUCAUUGCUAAUUGGUUAUAUUCGUUGUACCUGUUAUGCCUCAAUCAUAAUGGCAUAGUGACAAUAAAAGGAAAACGAAUUAUAAAUAUUUCACAUAGCAUGCUCUAGUUAUCUACAACUAUUGUUUUGGACUUCUGGUUUGGCAUUUAUAAUAAGUUGGCAUAUGUCUUUGAAUUCAUAUAGUUUGUAGCAUGACCUAAUUGGCACAAGUCAUCCUCUGCCAUGUCUUAUAUCUUUAGUUAGUAAGAAUUAAUAUUUCCCAUGUUUCAGCCACUAUACAAAUAUUGAUCAUGGACGAAGUUCUUACCCUGUUUAGUAUUAAUUUCAUUAUCUGCUGCAACUUUAUUGUGUUAUCUGUGCACUGCCCAACUAAGUACACAUAAUUUGAGUUUAAAAUAAAGCAUGCUUCUUUACUGGAGCUCAGCUUAGUAGUUGCAUUGUAUUGUUGCAGGAGAAGCUUAAGCCGUUAAUGGAUCAACUUAACAAAGUCAAAGACUUGACUGUUCCAGAAUUUGGAAAUUUCCGAACUUGAGAAGUGCGAGCAAAUGCAAGAAUAUGUUUAUAUAUAAUAGUGUAGUGUAGUGGGAUGUUUGGUUGGAUUCGUUUAAUACUUUGAUUUGGUUGGAUUUGUUAGGUAGUUUUGUUUGGUUGGAUUUGUUAUAAACUUUGAUUUGUAUGAAAGAAUAGUUUAAUGUUUCAGUGGAUAUAGUGAAAUAUUGCAAAGUUGUUAAUUUAGUCUUGCAUUAGCACAUAUAUGUUGUAGUAGCUAAUAUAUAUAUGUUUCAAUUUAUAACAAAAAAUGUUGCAAACAUGCAACUGAAAAACAGGUGUCCAAACAUAGGACCCACAUGUGUGACCCACGUGUGGGUCCCACUUUUUUUGAAAUCAGGAGGUCUAACGUAACAUAAUAUAUUUGUUGCUAUAGGGUAGUCAGAUGUUGCAAUAUCACGUCUAUUGUAACAUAAAAAGCCGUGUUGCAGUAGGUUACCCAAAUGUUGCAAUAGAAGCCUAGGGCAACAUGAAAAAAUGCAACUUAAAUUUUAUGUUGCAAUAGCCCUUUUUCGGGCUAUGGCAACAUAUUUUGGGGUUAUGGCAUCAUUUUUUUGAUGUUGUCNNNNNNNNNNNNNNNNNNNNNNNNNNNNNNNNNNNNNNNNNNNNNNNNNNNNNNNNNNNNNNNNNNNNNNNNNNNNNNNNNNNNNNNNNNNNNNNNNNNNNNNNNNNNNNNNNNNNNNNNNNNNNNNNNNNNNNNNNNNNNNNNNNNNNNNNNNNNNNNNNNNNNNNNNNNNNNNNNNNNNNNNNNNNNNNNNNNNNNNNNNNNNNNNNNNNNNNNNNNNNNNNNNNNNNNNNNNNNNNNNNNNNNNNNNNNNNNNNNNNNNNNNNNNNNNNNNNNNNNNNNNNNNNNNNNNNNNNNNNNNNNNNNNNNNNNNNNNNNNNNNNNNNNNNNNNNNNNNNNNNNNNNNNNNNNNNNNNNNNNNNNNNNNNNNNNNNNNNNNNNNNNNNNNNNNNNNNNNNNNNNNNNNNNNNNNNNNNNNNNNNNNNNNNNNNNNNNNNNNNNNNNNNNNNNNNNNNNNNNNNNNNNNNNNNNNNNNNNNNNNNNNNNNNNNNNNNNNNNNNNNNNNNNNNNNNNNNNNNNNNNNNNNNNNNNNNNNNNNNNNNNNNNNNNNNNNNNNNNNNNNNNNNNNNNNNNNNNNNNNNNNNNNNNNNNNNNNNNNNNNNNNNNNNNNNNNNNNNNNNNNNNNNNNNNNNNNNNNNNNNNNNNNNNNNNNNNNNNNNNNNNNNNNNNNNNNNNNNNNNNNNNNNNNNNNNNNNNNNNNNNNNNNNNNNNNNNNNNNNNNNNNNNGCUUAUCCUCGUAUGUAGUUUGUUUAUGGUUAUGUACCUGACCAUGUACUCGUACAUUUUUAUUUCUUGAUCUGAUUAUGUACUCUUAGUCUAGUAGAUCGGUUGUUACGUUAUUAUGCAGUUCUUGUGCAUUCUUAUGUCAUAAUGUUUUAUAAUGAUUCAAGCAUUGAAAUUCAUAUGGACAAUAAAGGAAACCUAACAUAACAUAAUAAACGACAGAACACUAAAACACAUACACAUGUUGAUCUUUCUCGAAACCAGUAAAACUGACUUUAUUUUGACUAAACUUUACAUAUAUCAAAUAACUGAAAAAAAUAAUAUAAAAUUUGAAUUACUUGAACAACAAAAGUUGAGACAUUACAUAUAAGAUACAAUACAUAUAGUAAUGGGGGUGAUCUUUUGGAGAAAAUACCUAACUCAAAGGGAUUUCUUCAAAUAAUUUGAGAUGGGUCAGAGCUUCAAGAAUCUGUGUACUCUGCUUUUACAAGUACAAAGUGGGAAAAAGUGAGACAUAAAUAAAAUGUAGUGAAGUAUUUGAGAUGGGAGAAAGUAAAACUAACUUAAUUUCAUAUUAAUAUUGUGAAGAUAUUAGCAUAGAAUGAUAAAUAUACAUUUCUACUACCCAUUUAUAAAAGAAAUAUUAUAAAAUAUAAAACUCUACGCUUUAAAUUUAAAUUGUUUUAAGUUGUUUUCUAUUAAAUUAUUUUCCCCACAGGGGAAAAUAAUAUUAAAUUGUUUUAAUAUUAUUGUUUUAUUAUUAUUUGAUUAUUAAAUUAACGAGUACAUAAUUUGUAAAGUUUAGUGCUAAGAUAUAUAUAUUAUUUAAUUUUAUUAAUUAUAUUAAUUUCACAAAACAAUUAAAAUUUGAUUUUAAAUAAAAUAUUAAAUAUAUAAUACAAUAAUAUUAAAUGGCGUAUAAUCAGUGUUACAGAAAUCGGGAAUCGGACCUAAUCGGUUGAGCUACCGAUUCAGGGAUUAAUCGGAAAUCGGAGAUUAAUCGGACUGAAAAUCGGAUUUAUUUUAAUAUUAAAAUAUUAUUUAUUAUUUAGUUAUUAUUAUAUUAGGUAUCUAGUAACUAAUAUAUUUACUAUAUUCAUAAACUCUAUAAUUAUUCAUAUUUAAAGUAAUAUAGUAUUUUAAUUCUAAUAAUUUAUCACAUAUACUUCUAUUAGAAAAUAUGUUAUAAGGAUUAAUCGGAUUUUAAAAAUCGAAUCGGUGGCCGACCUUGCAGGAGAUUAAUCGAGGAUUAAUCAGUUAAAUCGGGGAUUUUUAGAACAUUCGGCGUAUUAUAAUACAAUUAUAUCAAAAUUUAAAAAAAAAUCAGUACCUCAGUUUGGGUAUCGGUCAGCCACCUAGGACAAGUGAAUGAGUGAAACCGCUACAAAAAAUGUAGUAGUAUGGGUCGCCCCUGUCAAGGGCGAUCCUAACUGUAUUUUGUAACAGUAUGGGUCGCCCCUGACGAGGGCGACCUGAACGGGGAAAAACUUCAGCUUGGGUCGCCCGACUUUUUUUGAUUUAGGCUGGUUAGUUUUGAAAAGUUGAACGUAGGCUGGUUAGUUUUGAAAACUUUACGUUCGAACUGGUUACUUUUGUAAGGGAGCCCAGCCUCCACCAUUGCAGCUCUGAGCAGCCAUGAACCAGGUUAUACUCCAGUCUCCUUUUCUCCCCCGCGUGUGUAAGUCUGUACUGCAGCCCACAUUUUCAACACGCUUCUGUCCUAAGCUUCGCAAGAAAUAUCUUUUUUUUGAAAUUCAAAAAAUUUGCGCACCAUAUCAUCGUCCAGCCAAACCACCAUCGGCGAAUCAGCAAAUAUACAUAUCAGAUCUAAUAUACACCAAUCUGAGCUUUGAUGACUGAGGUUUGAUUUGUGUUUUAUUUAAUAAAAUGAUAAAAUGAUGUCUUCUUUCAUGAUCAUGCGAUUAAUCGAUUGUAACUUUAAGGGAGAUGGAACAAGCAAUUCACGACGUCUAUUUACCUCCGAAGACAUGAUUAGUGGUAUGGUUACAUAAAUUUAACUUCUCUAUUUUUCUACCAUGUGUGGCCUAAUUGUUUCAUCUCUUGCUUUGUAGGUUAUCAGUCCAAAAAGCGGAGGAAAAGGGGCUACACAAUUAAGAGAUGAAACAGUAUUGAGCAUGUGAGCUUUAAAACUUGAUGAUUAAAUUUUUCAUAUUAUAUUUGUUCUGUAUUUAGAAAUUUGUGGAGGAUGUGUUUGAUAAUAUGUCUGAGAGAAGAAGUUAAUAAAUUUAUCGUGUUGAGGAUGUGUUUGAUGAUAUGUCCGAGUGAAAAAAUUAAUAAAUUUAUUUUCAAAAUGUUGCGAACAAAUUGUAAUUUAUAUCUAGCAGCUUCAAAUAAUUUUUUUUAGAGCAAAAAGAAUCGCAAUUGCAUGUGAAGAGAUGCACCUCCCUGAUAUUAGACUUUUAGUGUAAUUGCAUGUGUAACUAAACCGCUUGACUAUAAUGUUGGUGUAGAGUACGGAGCUUUAAUUUAUGAUGUUCUCCUCAAUCUGUCCAAAUUAUAGCUGAUCGUGGGAAUCAACUUUAGGGUAAGCUCUGCUCUGAAACUCAUUUUCUUAUAUUGGAACUUGGUUAUUUCUUAAAUGAAACGACUUUGACGUUUUCACCGAGUAGUCAUAGAUGCGUGAGUUGUACAAUAGUAAAAGAAAAAUAAAUUACAUAAAGACUGUCUGAGGUAAAAUAGUAUACAAGCUGCAAUUUUAUAUUUGGUACAUUGACGUAAAAAGUUAUUGUUAUGUUCAGGGGGAGGUGCUGAGAAAUGACAUGAUUAUAUCAUACGAGCGGCGACAAACUACUGAAGUUGCAAAAGAAAUGAUCUUAAAGAAAGCAGAGAAAGUGGGGGAGUUUUUUCAAGAAAAGAAUUUAAAGAGGAGAUGAGAUGCCAGAGUAUUACGCGCUAUUGCCGAAACAGGAUUAAAAACUAUAUUGGGUAUCUCUUCUUGAUCUCUUGAUUAAUUCCACUAGGAAGCUUCAAUAUUAUAUAGGAAGUUUUCUUUUUAAGCUUAAUUUUGAAUUUGAAUCCUCAAACUAUAACUACUGUAUAUCUCUUUAUAUUAUAGCUCCUGACGCCGGGAACUUCCCCUUCUACAACCAGCCCAACUGUACAUAACAGUUGCUUGCUUAUGAAUUUCAAAUUUAUAUUAUAAUGUUUAUAUGUAAUAUUGAAUCAAAGUUGCUUGCUUGCUUAUGUAAUAUUGAAUAUCUACUGUUGGAUGAUUGUUAACUGCUGUGUUACCAAGUGUUUGAUUAAAUUCCUACAAGUUUUGUUUGAAUUUUGUUCUUUAUUUAUCAUUAGUAUGUUUCAUUUUUAUGUUUGACUCUAUGCUAAUCGCUGAUAAGAUUUCUAUGAUUAUAGGAGAUGAGUGUUCUUAUGGCAUGAAUGAUAUUGGAAAAGUGAAAUGUGUUGAUGCUUUGUGUAAAUAAAUCAUGAUCUGCCGUUAUAGUUUUCUGUUUGUUUUCAAUUUGUGUGUACCUAGGUGGUUGUUACUGAGCAUUGAUCAACUGUGUUAAUUAAUUUAUUAAAAUGGAGUUGAGUCUGAGAACUAAAGGGCAAUUAUAUACUUCUUUAGGCUUUCCUUAACAUGUUUUUAUUCAUUAAAAAAAAUCGAUGAGUUUUUAUAAAUAUAUAUACUCUGUUAUUUUCUCUGUACCUAAUUAAAAGGAUUUUAAUUCGAAUUAUAGGUGUUUGUCAUGUGAAUAUUAUCUAAAAGAUAAUGGGGCCGUUUGGGUUAGCUUAAAAGAAGUGACUUUUUGCUUAUAGUAAAGAAGUGGAGUAGAAGUGAGAAGUAAAUAAGUUAAUAAAGUGUUUGGAAAAGAAGCAGAAGCUGUGAGAGAGAAGCUAGCAUUCUCAGCUUCUUAAAAGUGCUUCAACUUCUUUACACAAACAGGUCAAGAGAAGCAGAAGCCAGAAGCAGCUUCUGCUUCUCUUGGCCAAACAGGCCCAAUAUCUUUAAGGUCUCUUGCAUUGGUCAUUUAAUGUGUUAAUUAAAAGUUUACAUUUAAAUUUUUUGAUCUAAUAAUUUUGGAUAGAUGGUUUGUGAGGUUAAUGAAUGAACUAAUAUGGAAUGAUAAAAUGUAGGAGGUCUGGAAAGAUGGGUUUCAAUGCAGGUUUAUUGCUACUUUCCUUCAGGUCUGCAUUGCUUUGGUCUGUCUUCAGGACUGAGACUGUGAUUGGUUUCGGAACAGACACAAGUAUAUAUAUGGACCAAUGCAAAGCACCUGAUUAUCAUACUUUAGGCUUUUGCUCUGCUUUCUAUGGUAAAAAAAAGUGACAUUACUUCGAAUCUGAUACAGUUUAUCCAAGAGCUUGCUUCAAUAUUAAGAAUGCAAUACGUGUUGCAGAUAAAAUUUUGACCAGCAACAUUGGGGCACCCAACCCAAAUCUAGCAACAUUGGCCGUGGAGCUUUAAAUAUCUCCGUAAGAUUCUUUUCCCUCGCAGGCAGGCAUCUUUUUCUGCGAAAAAUAUACAAGAAAAAAGGACUAAUUUGUUUAAUUGAAAAUAAAUUUCGGAUGAGUUGGAUUAAGAAUCAAAUGGAGAGUCCUGUUUUGGUUUCAUUUUGAUGGAGAGGUUGCUUAGGUCCUGUUUUGAUCGAAAGGUUGAAAAAAUAUUUGGUAUUUUUUGGUCUCAUUUUGGUUUGUUUCGUUCCUUCACAGGUGUGCAACAAGUGAUGAUAGUAUUUAAACAUGAUUAGCAAACUGCCCAGCAAUCCAUGCAUGGCAAGGGGAAUGCACAGCUUAAUGAUUUCAGUCUCCGUACCAUCCAAGUGCAACAAAAAUCAAUUAUCUUGUGAUGUCUAGGAUUCUACAAAAGUAAGAAGCCUUCAUUCAUCUUCAUUCAUCCCCUGUUACUAGAAAAGCAUUGGUAGCCUAUAAGCAGGUACACUAAGUAGCUCACCUAAUUUUUGCAUUUCAGUAUCAACGGAAAGUGGUGCAGGACUCCACUUUAUAAUUAAAUUAUGUGUCUAAAUUAUGCGUGUUGUAAUGUUUAGUGACCAUGUUCCAGACCCGACAUGUCCUUACUUGGCAGAUCAAGUUAUCCAAGAUUUGGGAAGGAGUUUCGCCUUUGAGAUCUCCAACAAGUAAGAAGAAAUAAUGUCAAGGAAUGAACUAAUGUAAAAUGAUAAGAAGAUGAAGGUAUAAAACAAUGAUUAUAAUGUAGGCUUCUUCGUAAUGUAAUGAACAAAAUAAUGGAGUAACUAUAACUAUUCUUGCUGCAAGCCUGUGUUUGUUUAAUGCUAUCUGGCAGUAGUUUAGCAUUGGUAUAUUCCUUAAGGUGGAUUUGGAUAGAGUGAGAGGAGACAUUACUUAUCUUUACCUAGCUACUGCUUUUCAUGAGAUUUGGGCAGAGCGUAACAUUAGAAUUCAUCAUCCUAAGAGUUUUAAAGUUGCAAACCGGCUUAUCAAGGACAUAAUAGCCUCUGUUACUAUUUUUACAUGCUCCUCUAUUGUUGUGUGAACUUGCUGAACUCCUUUUUUCUGUUGUUCUACUUACUAAAAUCUUUUUAAUUUUCUUUUGUUAGGUACACUAAGUGGUUCACUCAAUUUUGGCAUUUUAGUAUCAUUGGCAAGUGGUGUAGGACUCCAUGAUUCUGUGUUGUCCACAAGCAACGAAAAAAANNNNNNNNNNNNNNNNNNNNNNNNNNNNNNNNNNNNNNNNNNNNNNNNNNNNNNNNNNNNNNNNNNNNNNNNNNNNNNNNNNNNNNNNNNNNNNNNNNNNNNNNNNNNNNNNNNNNNNNNNNNNNNNNNNNNNNNNNNNNNNNNNNNNNNNNNNNNNNNNNNNNNNNNNNNNNNNNNNNNNNNNNNNNNNNNNNNNNNNNNNNNNNNNNNNNNNNNNNNNNNNNNNNNNNNNNNNNNNNNNNNNNNNNNNNNNNNNNNNNNNNNNNNNNNNNNNNNNNNNNNNNNNNNNNNNNNNNNNNNNNNNNNNNNNNNNNNNNNNNNNNNNNNNNNNNNNNNNNNNNNNNNNNNNNNNNNNNNNNNNNNNNNNNNNNNNNNNNNNNNNNNNNNNNNNNNNNNNNNNNNNNNNNNNNNNNNNNNNNNNNNNNNNNNNNNNNNNNNNNNNNNNNNNNNNNNNNNNNNNNNNNNNNNNNNNNNNNNNNNNNNNNNNNNNNNNNNNNNNNNNNNNNNNNNNNNNNNNNNNNNNNNNNNNNNNNNNNNNNNNNNNNNNNNNNNNNNNNNNNNNNNNNNNNNNNNNNNNNNNNNNNNNNNNNNNNNNNNNNNNNNNNNNNNNNNNNNNNNNNNNNNNNNNNNNNNNNNNNNNNNNNNNNNNNNNNNNNNNNNNNNNNNNNNNNNNNNNNNNNNNNNNNNNNNNNNNNNNNNNNNNNNNNNNNNNNNNNNNNNNNNNNNNNNNNNNNNNNNNNNNNNNNNNNNNNNNNNNNNNNNNNNNNNNNNNNNNNNNNNNNNNNNNNNNNNNNNNNNNNNNNNNNNNNNNNNNNNNNNNNNNNNNNNNNNNNNNNNNNNNNNNNNNNNNNNNNNNNNNNNNNNNNNNNUUUUACAUGCUCCUCUAUUGUUGUGUGAACUUGCUGAACUCCUUUUUUCUGUUGUUCUACUUACUAAAAUCUUUUUAAUUUUCUUUUGUUAGGUACACUAAGUGGUUCACUCAAUUUUGGCAUUUUAGUAUCAUUGGCAAGUGGUGUAGGACUCCAUGAUUCUGUGUUGUCCACAAGCAACGGAAAAAAAGCCUGCAGAAAUGUUUCGAAUACUUUGAACGAAAUAAAGGUACAUUAUUAGGCAAGUGAUUGUGGCGGCAGAGAUAGCAGUUUGAUUGCUACACAAUUAUGUGUUUCACAAGAUUUUGCUAUUUUAAAUUAUAGUAAAUUUGAUUAAAUCCCACUCGGAAAGUUUGAAAUUUCUUGAUGUUGCUUAGUUAAAAUUUGGAUAUGGACAAUUAUGAUAUUUGUGAAUUUGGGUUCUUUUUAUAGGUGAUUUUUGAACAUUGCUAGAAUGAUAUAUGAUCUCAGGCCUCACACUCUUAACAUCUUUACGAGGCUUACGAGGUUCGAGAUGAGUUGGUUACUUAACAUGAUUCGUUUAAUUUAAUUAUGUGUUUGUGUAGUUGGGUUGAUUUGUUGUUUGUUUCGUUUAAUUGUACAAUUAAGGAGAUGGUGUUUACAAUAAUAAUAUUGAAGAUAGUUUGUAACUAGAGUAUGUUGUUAAUAAUUUGGUUAUGAGAAAUUGAGGCCGACACAAGUUUAAUCUGGCUUUCUCGAGAUGAUCUGACCUCGAGAAGAAAGAUUAUCUCAAAGUAGUUUUGUAAGUUGCUUCUCUCUGUUUUUGGACAAUGUAAAUUCUUACAUUACAUCUGCCUCUUGCAGGUAACAUCUUUGCUUUUAGGCUCUUUAUAUCGCCGAUGUAAGUUUUGCUCCAUAAAUUUCAGUGUUUGGCUAGAUCUCCUACAACUGUACUUUUAAAGAAAAAUAGAAGAAAUCAAGAACUGAGUUUACUGUACUUUUGCAGUGAUAAUCAGAUAUGUACCGGUUUUGCUUCGCAUAGUCACACCUUUUCUUUGUACAAUUGCAGACCCACUUUUAGGGGUAUUAUGAUGAGGAACGAGUGUACAGAAGACUUCUCAGGUCUUCCAUAUCUAUAUGCCCUCCUGCACUGCUUGAUUUGUGCCUGGUAUGGCAUGUCGUUUAUGUCAGAUGAUAAUGUGCUUGAUAACUGUAACCUUAUACAGCUACAUUUACUUUAAAUGUCUUGAACACAGUGGUUGCAAAUAAUGGUUAAAUGAUUAAUAUUUACACUGAUCUACUGCUUUUACACUGAUCACUGCUUAUGAUGUUGAAAAACCAAAAUUUGGUGGAGAAAUUGGGAUCAAUGGAGGGAGCUUGCACUGACACACGAAAUCUGUCAAAGCCUAGAUUACAAAGUAAUACUUUACUUGACUGAUCGACGGUUCAACUCAGCAGGAUAUGGAGUAUGCUCGCAGUGUACAUAACAUCCAAUCUCCCAAGGUCUCAUCAUCUACUUUGGAGACAACCUCAAAAUGGGUGUAGUUGCACUUGCACCCAAAAAUGAAGCCAGUGCAAAAAUCAAAGAGAUGACCCAUUUGUUAAAAAUGUUGAGGCUGAAGAGUACAAGGGAACCAAGGUCAGAGAUGUCUCCUCCGCUAAGAGAUGAGGAAAUAUGGCAGUCGUUGGUAUUUGGGAAAUGCAUGUUAGCAAAUACAUGGAUUAUAAAUUGUAUGAGUGACAGGAUGAUAAUAUAGCGUCUCAUAGUCUAAUAUUGCCAAUGACAGGGCUAAUAGCAAUAGCACUUUCAAAAGUAGGUUUGCAGCUGUGAAAUUCACUCAAAGUUGUGAAAUUUGUGAAAUUUGCUUUUGCUCUAACAUGUAAUACCCCGGGUUCCAUUCUUUUGUUUACUUGAAUUUGAAUUGUAUUGUUAUCUUUGUUUUUUUAUUAUAAUUAUCCAAAAAUAGAUGUCCAUCUUGACUUUUGGUUGGUUAUUAGACAGAGGAAUUGAGCCCGGAAAUAAAAGUGUUACUAAUUAUCAUCCAUUAUUAAAGCAAUUAUUAUAUUAGACCAAUUUUAUUUUUGCACUAUUUGAAAUAUUCACUUUAUCUGAAUGAUGAAUGGUUCUUCUUUCAGUUAAUACAGUGUCAUUCACUGGUUAACAAAUGACCUCUUAAAUUAUUCAUGAAAUCAUUUAAAAAUAUAUAAAGUUUAAUUGACAAAUUUAUCUUUUUUAAUAAAAUUAUACUCAAAUUUUUGGUUGAAAUGUAUGUAGCUUUAAGAUUAUAAUCACUUUUAGCCGAAAGUACUUUAAUAUUAGUGUUCAUAAAAAUAAUUUUUGAAUAACUUAUUAAUGAUUAAUUAUUUUAUGUAACGGUUUAAUAAAAUUAUACAAAUAUAAUGAUUUCUAAUUUGAGAAUAGUUUUUUAUAGUUCAAAACAAAAUUUAUAAUAAAAAAAUUUAACGAGUUAUCAGUAAUUAAUAAUAUACAUUUACAAUUAAAUUAUCCAAAUUAAUUAUAAAAUAUUAAAAUUUAAAAUAUUUGACUAAAGUGCGAGGCGUCACCGCUCGGCGACGUCGAGGGGCACUUGAUAGAAUAUGACUUUUCAUAUAUUACAAAGUUUAGCUAUAUAAUUAUUUUGAUUAUAAGAUAUUAAAAUAUAAAAUAUUCGACUAAAGUGUGAGGCGUCGCCGCUCGACGACACCGAGGAGGACUUGAUAAAAUAUGACUUUUCAUAUAUUACAAAUGUUUAGCUAUAUAAUUAUUUUGAUUAUAAAAUAUUAAAAUAUAAAAUAUUCUACUAAAGUGUGAGGCGUCACCGGUCGGCGACGACGAGGAGCACUUGAUAGAAUAUGAUCUUUCAUAUAUUACAAAGUUUAGCUAUAUAAUUAUUUUGAUUAUAAGAUAUUAAAAUAUAAAAUAUUCGACUAAAGUGCGAGGCGUUGCCGCUCGGCGAGCCGAGGAGUACUUGAUAAAAUAUGACUUUUCAUAUAUUACAAAUGUUUGGCUAUAUAAUUAUUUUGAUUAUAAAAUAUUAGAAUAUAAAAUAUUCGACUAAAGUGCGAGACAUCGCCGGGGAGCACUUGAUAAAAUAUGACUUUUCAUAUAUUACAAAUGUAUUAUAUAAUUAUUUUGAUUAUAAAAUAUUAAAAUAUAAAAUAUUCGACUAAAGUGCGAGGUGUCGCCGAGGAGUACUUGAUAAAAUAUGACUUUUCAUAUAUUGAAAAUGUUUAGCUAUAUAAUUAUUUAAAUUAUAAAAUAUAAAAUAUUCGACUAAAGUGCGAGGCGUCGCCGAGCGGCGACGCCGAGAAGUACUUGAUAAAAUAUGACUUUCAUAUCUUUAAAAAUAUUAUGUAAUUUUCGAACGUAAAUGAAUUUUAAUUACGAAUUAACUUUUAUAAAUACUCAAGUUAUACAACGGUUUUUGUUGAAUUUGAUUUUUAUUUUACACUGAACUUUUAUUUUUAUAACUACAAAAUCACAAGUUAUAUUUAAUAUUUUUUUUAUAACUCAAUUGUUGUUUUCUUGCAUAUAAAAGUUUGUAAGUAUAAGUAAUGGAUAUAAUAACGUCAUAUUAAUUUUCAAAAUAUAAUCAAUAUUUUAAAUCUUAUUGACAAAAAAAGGACUAAAUUCUAUCUAUUAUUUUAAAAUAUUAUUUUAAAAUAUUAUUGUAUAUACAAAUACUCACAAAUACUCCAUGACGCUGACGAACAUCCAAUAAUCAUUAUCAGGUAGUGAAAGAUCUGAGGAACACAUUAAAAUUUGUACUUCAAUAAAACACAAUUGAAAGAUGAAUUUUAGCCAAAAUAAAUAUGCAUGAAUACAGGUUGGCAAAUUGGCGUAACAACCACUGAGCUACUCAAGUACAAGGACUCGAUGAAAGGCCUCUACUACUCCCAGAACCUGAAAAUGCUAUUUCUAUAAUUCCAUCACGUUAUUUAUCUUAUUUAAUGUACUGUUCUGUGAUAACGUAUGGGAACUCGCUAAUAUGGAAUGCUAGCUUUGCAUUUGGUCUCCUCGCCAUAUUCACAAAUCAUUAGGAUUCAUAUAGAAUUGGUGCGUGUUCAAAACAGAAUUUUUUCAAGCACAAGAUCAGCAAAAAUAAAUUUAUUAAUCUUCUGCAAUUUAAAAUGCCCAGCAAGGCGGGCAUAAAUACUAGUUCUUCAUAUUUACACAACCAUUGAUCUGUCUUGCAACAAAUUUCAAGGAGAAGUUCCAAAGGUUACAUGAGAGCUUAAAUGGCUUGCAUUGCUCAAUCUAUCUCAUAAUAGUCUCACCGGACAUAUCCCAUCACUCCUCGGAAAUAUGGAAGCACUCCUAUCUCUAGAUUUGUCUUCAAAUCAAUUGACAGGGGCUAUUCCACACCAAUUAACUAAAUUGACAUUUCUAAAGGUGUUGAACCUCUCGGGAAAUAAUCUUACUGGGGAAAUCCCGCAAAAAGGGCAAUUCAGCACUUUUGGAAAUGAGUCAUACUUGGGGAACCCGGCCUUGUGUGGACUUCCUUUGACGGAAAAAUGCAUGCAUGCAGUGUCACCAACUCAAGAAGUCGGAAAUGGUGAUACUGAUGAAGAUGACGAUGCUGAUGAUGAACUUAAUUGGGAAGCCAUCCUGAUGGGAUAUGGAUGUGGAUUGAUAUGCGGAUUGUCUUUGGGGUACAUUGUUUUCAAGAUAGGAAAGCCUUGGUGGUUUGUGAAAUACAUUAAAAUACUACAACUGAAAUUGAUGAAAACAUGCACAAAGCAUAGCAGACGAAAGACUUGAGGAGAUGUUGUCUUAGGAUGCAAUCUCGUUUAAUACUUUCAUCAUUAUUCUCCAAGAUGUCUGAACAUGUAUUUUCAAAGAAUUCUCAGUUCACCUUUAGCCUUAUAAAGUAAAAGACAUUUUAAAGGCACUCUCAACUUACACCUAUAUAUACACGUACGGUUCACUUCAGUACAAAGAUUAUUAGCCAUGCAAAACAUGCAGAACCACUAGUAAUGCAGAAAAACAAAAUAUCAGUUUUCUCCAAAUAUCACUACAACAAAACUGCCAUUUUACGACGGAAAUCUAAUAUUCUAAAGGUUUACGACCAAACUAUGUUGGUGGACUUUAUUUUAAUUUACAGUUUUAACAGUAGUUAAUUUUGGAUAUCUAAACUUGCGACAGAAAACAUACGACAGUCUACCUCGCGAGAGAAAAUCAUUUUAUUUUAUUUUUUAGCGCCAGAAUUUUAAUACUAAAAUAUUAUAUAUAUGAAGGAAACUGAUCUCUAAUGUUUUCAGCUUGCUCAUCCAUAUGUAAGUAAUCCGUCGAAAAAGUUAGUUUGUUGUGGUGGUGUCUUAUCAUGAGAGAAAAUGAUAAUAUCGCAAAAUAUUUGCAACUGAAAGAUAAAUUAUAAUUCUAGAAACCAUUUAGGUAACGAUGCACGAAGUUAUUUUCACUCACUUAGAAUUAAUGAUCAUAAAUAUUUGCAACGGAAAGAUACAUUAUAGUUCUAGAAAAGGAUCCACGAAGUUAUUUUCACUCACUUAGAAUUAAUUGUAAGUUAUUGUGAGUUUUUGAAUAUGGAUUAUCUCAAAUUUUAUGAAAACACAUAUUGAUUCAUAUAUACAAAUUUGCCUACCUAAUAUUAUAAUAUUUAUGGAGAAGUUGUAUGAACAAUUGUGUAGAUAAUUAUACUUUACAAAGCAUACUUCUGCUAGAUGAAUUUUGAUUAAACAAAAUCGAAAGGGAUAGGUCUGGGUCUCUCCAAGUCUUUGAGGACUCAUUCCAAGUCUUCUGACGAGGACAAAAUAUAUUGCUGGUAGUCUUUCAGUCCUUCCUAGAGUAUUUUAUGCUCUGGACUGCAUUAUGCAGCUCUCAUAUAACUUUGCGAUGCAAAACAGUGGCAAGUAAGUAUUUCCGUAUGUGUAUUUAUUUGUAUAUUAAAGUUGCGUAACAUUUGUGUUGAUAAUUUGCGUAAUGUUGAUGAGGAUUGCUCCCAAGUCUUGGACGGACUCUUUCCAAAUCUUCUGAGGACAUAUCGGUUCAAAUUAGUCCAUUAAAAAUUUUAUGAUAUGAAGCUAUCUGCAAAAUAAUAUAUAAGGUAAAAUGAACCAUUGUUUUGUGGUUAAGUUGUACAGGCAAUAUGCAGUGCAAAAUCAGGAACAGAAUAUAUGAAUACUAGUAAUAUGAUAUCGGUAUGAACGAAUAUUUUCUAUGUAGUUGUUAUUGUGAUGCGGAAAAAAUAUUGUAACCAAAAAUAAUUAUAAUUCUAAAAAUUUCCAUUAUACACUUUUUUAGUGUUCGUGGUACUUCAAAUGACAUUUCUCGCGUAUGCCUCCAAUUAAGAACUUGAUGUUCAGCAUAGUCCGAAACUAAAAUUAUUAUAAGUGUGUAAUUCAAAAUUAUAUUGCUGGUAGUCUUUCAGUUCUUCCUAGUGUAUGCAGUAGUUUCAUUCGAUACCGAUUAUUUUAUGCAUUGCCCGAGAACCAGUCUAUCUAAAACCCUAAGAUGUUAUAUUUUUAUACGUGUAUUAGUUUUGAAGAUUAAAGUUGUAUGGACAAUUGUGUUAAUAAUUUGCGCAAUUGCGCAAUGAUAACUGGGAUAGGUCAUCUUCUCUCCCAAGUCUUGGAUGGAAUCUUUCCAAGUCUUCUGAGAACCCAUCAGCUCAGAUUAGUCCAUACAAUGUCAAGGGUCCUAUGAUAUGGUCUACUAACAGCCCAGUGUCGGUAAUAAAUCCAAUUGCAUAUAACCUAUUCAAAAUCAAUCCCCUAUAAACAAUCAUCUCUAAAAACUAUUCACAUAAAAUAAAAUUUUAAAAAUAUAAAAUAUCUAGUUGUUUUCAAUAUAUAAUUUUCCACAGUAGAUAACACAAUAUCUUUAUCAAAUUAUUAUUUAUGGGUUCAAUAUUUAAGCUAUAAUUCCAACAACACGGCAAGCAUGCAGCAUAUAAAUAGAAGUGUGCAGUAUGGUAUUGCAUUCAUAACCCAGUUGAGGAAAAAUAUGGCACCCUUCCUAAAGCCUUCUCACCUUCUUCUCUUUGUUUUCUUUCUCUCAUCACCUGAGUCCAUUCUUGCGACAACACGAGAAGGAGAAGCUCUUGUGAAGUGGAAGAAUAGCCUAGCCCCUUCUUCUUUUCUUGAUUCUUGGUCACUCACUCAUCUCGAUAAUCUUUGUAACUGGACUGGCAUUACUUGUAACUCUGCAGGUUCAGUCUCUAAGAUUAACCUUUUUGAGAAACAACUUAAUGGAAUGCUGUCCGAGUUUGGUUUCACUUCAUUUCCAAAUCUCAGCAAUCUCACCCUCACAUACAACUUCUUCUCGGGUCCCAUACCACCAGCCAUUGAGAAUUUAACCCAGCUUCGGUAUCUUGAUUUGAGCUAUAAUUAUCUGGAUGGUCCCAUUCCGUUCCAGGUUAGCCAUCUUCAGAGCUUGCUCAUCUUGAACCUGUCACAGAAUGCAUUGCAAGCUCCAAAUUGGUCCCAUUUCUCUCCCAUGCCUUUCUUGCGCAUCCUCAACCUCAGUUACAAUCCUCUUGCGUCGAAAUUCCCAAAUUUUAUAUCCAAUUCUCAUAGCCUGACUCACCUUAGCCUUAAUUUUAAUGAGUUUACUGGUGAUCUAGUACGUGAAUCAAUAUUUGCCAAUCUGCAUAAUCUUGAAGUCCUCAGUCUUCUUGGCAAUUUUUUUGAGGGGCCAUUUCCGCCAGAUAUAUUCAAGCUUUCCAAAUUAAAACAUCUUCACCUGUCAGGUAACAAAUUCUCAGGUUCAAUUCCAAAUGACAUAAGGUUGCUUUGUGGUCUUGAAAACCUAUUUUUAAGCAACAAUUCCUUUGAAGGACCGCUUCCACCAAAUAUAUUUAAGCUUUCAAAAUUAAAACAACUUGUUCUUUGGAGUAAUAAUUUUUCAGGUUCUAUUUCCAAUGAUAUAGGUUUGCUUUCUGAACUUGAAACCCUCAAUCUUCAAUUUAAUUUUUUUGAGGGGCCGCUUCCCCCACAUAUAUUUAGGCUCUCUAAGUUAACAGGUCUAGAACUCGGAGACAAUAGAAAUUUAUUUGAAGGAAGUAAUAUUCCUAUCGGACUGGGACUCUUGACUAACCUCAGGUACUUAGAUUUACAUUCCAGUAAUCUCAGUGGCUAUAUUCCAUCUGACAUUGGAAACCUGAAGCUACUAGUACUUCUUAGUCUCGGUUCUAAUCAAUUGACUGGACCGCUUUCAAAGAUCGUUUAUAAUCUCACAAAUCUUAUAUUUCUUGAUGUAAGUAAUAAUAGUCUUAGUGGAAAUAUUCAGAGUGACUUGUGGAAAUAUAACCAUCAUCCUACUUUGGAAUACAUCGAUUUUAGUGGGAACCAUUUUACAGGUAUAUUUUUUCUCUAUAGAUCUUUUCCUUUUGUCAUAUGUAACUAAGCUAGUAAUCUGAUUAUUGCAGUUUUACUGAAGUUUCAACAAUCUUGACAGGUGAGCUUCCAACAACAAUUUGCAAUGUCAUGUCCCUUUCGGUUCUUGAUUUGUCAAAUAAUGAAUUAAGUGGUGCACUUCCAAACUGUUUCGGGAAUCUUGCUGAUGGAUUGCUUUACAUUAAUCUUGCUAAUAAUCAGUUUCGAGGAACAAUACCAACUACUUUCUCCAGGAGUUGUCAGCUGACAUAUCUAAACAUGGAUAAUAAUGAGUUUGAAGGAUUGUUGCCCCCAUCUUUGGCGAACUGUAAGCACUUGAGAAUUCUUGAUAUUGGCAAUAAUAAAAUAGGUGGUACAUUUCCGUCAUGGCUUUAUGUACUUGGAGAGCUAGAAGUCCUUGUCUUGCGAUCAAAUAAACUCUAUGGUACAAUAAGUGGAAGGAGCAUAGAAGAUCCCUUCCCCAAGUUGCGGAUUGUGGAUCUGUCCAACAAUCAAUUCACAGGCCAUUUGCCAAUUCAAUACUUUAAGAAUAUGAAAUCAACUGAUAAUUUGUAUCGUUAUCAGAAUUCCACAGGAGUUUUUUCUUUCCAUUAUGAAGCAUCUGUCUCAUUAACUGUGAAGGGAACAGAGUAUGAAGUGAAAAAUAUCCUUCAUAUUUACACAGCCAUUGAUCUGUCCUGCAACAAGUUUCAAGGAGAAAUUCCUGACGUUAUUGGAGAGCUUAGAUGGCUUGCAUUGCUCAACUUAUCUCAUAAUAGUCUGACAGGACCUAUCCCAUCAUUACUGCGAAAUAUGAAAGGACUCCAAUCUUUAGAUUUGUCCUCAAAUCAACUGACAGGGGCUAUUCCACCUCAGAUAACUGCACUGACAUUUCUAGAAGUCUUAAACCUCUCGGGAAACCAUCUUAGUGGAGAGAUUCCUCAGAAAGGACAAUUCAGCACAUUCAACAAUGAUUCUUAUAUAGGAAACUCCGCAUUAUGUGGAUCACCAUUGACGAAGACAUGUGCAAACACAGCAUCACCUCCACAAGAAGUCGGAAAUGUUGAUGAAGAUGAUGCGGGUGAUGAAUUGACAUGGGAAGCAAUCUUGAUGGGAUAUGGAUGUGGACUGAUAUGUGGAUUGUCAUCUGCAUACAUUGUUCUCAAACUAGGAAAGCCUUGGUGGUUUGUGAGAUAUCUCGAAGUACUGCAACAGAAGUUGAUGAAAAGAUAUGCAUGAAGAAUGGUACUGGCCGAUCAAGACCAACUUGAAAGUUUGUUGUCCUUGUGCACAUUUCUGAACCAGUAGUGUACUUGCUGCAUAAGUAUUUGGUAUUAUGUAAUAAUCCGUUUGGUCGGGACUCAUAAUGAUUUCUCUUGCUUCAGGGGUAUUAAUAUUAACCUUGCUAUCUUGAUCAAUGUUAAAGCAAAUUAAAUGAAUGAAAAAACAAAAAGUAUGCAUCAAAUCCGCUCCUGCUGUACCAAAAUCCAUUAAAUUGCUUUGGUCUCUUACCUAACAAUUUAACAGCACACUUCCACACUGUUCAUACCUAAUUUGCGUGUAAUAUGAAAACUAAGAGGCAUGGCUUUUGUCUCUAUAAGUCUUUGAGAACUUAUUCUUCCAAGUCUUCUUCGGAGGCCUGCUGCCUCAACAACCUUUCAAAGAUGUAGCAGUUGCUCGAGAGUAACAUAUAUAUUAGAUAAAGACUAUGCAAUAAUCCACGUGACAGAAAAACCAAAGUCCAAUUAGUUUUCCAAGUUCAUAAAAAAUACUAUAGGAUCAUUAGCAUUACAUUAGUAUUCCACUAGCAUACAGCAUAUUAUAAGACAAAAGUAAGCGGAAAUAAACAUAAUUUCAAUAGAUUUAACUUACUCUUCAGAAUCGAUAAGUUUGGAACACGUUGAUUGAGCACAAGACGAAGGCCACACAUGCGCAUCAUCUGAUGCAGCUAUAUAUGGUGCCUUUACAGUUGCUCAUACAUAUAGUGAAACAAUAAGGAUCAACUCCUCCAUUGUACGUACACAUUUUCAUACAAGCUAUAAAGCAUGGUGAUAGAGUCUUUGCAAUCUCGUCAUGACCGGCACAUCCGAUUAUGAUAAACUCUAGCAGGAUCAUCCAAGUAAUAAUUUUCAUAAUGAUAUUAAUUAUCAUUGUGAAUAGUUGCAUUGAGUUAUAUAUGUGUGUGUAUAUAUAUGCAAUGGAUUUUGUGGUUGAGAAUAUCUAUUAGAUUUUGUAUAUCCAUAACAAUUAUUAAAAUUUAAACAAGAAUAUCUAUUAUUGGUUGUGGUUGACUAUUGUAGUAGUCCAAGAAAUCAAUGCAAGUGAAAUCUAUAUUAUAUUUUAAAAGAUUAUACAUGAAAUACAAAAGGUUUUUUUAGGACUGCUGUUAAAAAUUGUUAUGUUGUACGAAAAAAUGCUGAUAAAAAGAGUGUUAUACGAAAAAAUGCUGAUAAAAAAAAUGUCGUAUAAAUCAGAUAUGACAGCUUCCCACAAAAACUAAAAAAAACAGUUUUCCGUAAUAAUAUGGGAGAGGAAAAACUGUUUGUAGAUUUAUAGAACAAUUUUUCGGUAAAAAACUGUUGUUGUUUUCGAGAGUAAUGACAAACAGUGCCGAAAUCAUUUUGCAGGUAGUUAAUCUCACUUCCAUAUAAUAUACUCCUAUAUAUUACCGAAAAAACAUGAAAUGAUGCAAACCUCAUACUAUUGACAACAGCUAAACUCCUUGCAAUACUUUCAGCUGCAAAAUCCAUCAAAUUUUUUGAUUUAUCAUGUAACUGUUUGACAGAGUACUUCCAAGCCUAAGUAUCAAAAAUCACUACCUUACGAAAUAUAUCUCACCCUACCUUCUCUGCUUAACUGUUUCGAGUGCUUUUACCAAGCAUAUUUUCCAUUAAGCGUGAAAGGCACAGAAUAAUUAGGAUCACCGAAUAUCCCAUCAGUGCUGGGGAAUAUGGAACCAUCUUAUCAAUUAACUAGUUUAACAUUUCUUGCGGUCUUGAACCUCUCAGAAAACCAUCUUAUCCUAAUGUGCCGACUUCCUUUGACGGAGAAAUGGUGAUGCUGAUGCUAAUGAUAAUGAACUCAACUGGGGAGUGAUCCUUAUGGGAUACGGAUGUGGAUUGAUAUGCGGAUUUUCUUUGGGGUUUAUAUUUUGUGGUUUGUGAGAUACAUUGAAGUACUGCAGCUGGAGUUGAUCAUUAUAAAGAACAUAGGCAAGUUAAUCGCUUAUUGAAAUUAGUAAUUGUCAAAAGUAAAAUGUUGAAAUUACUUUUUUCGAUUGAAAUCAUUGAAAAAAAGUCUCUGUCGAAAUUGAUCUGCCAAAAUUAUGUUUAAUAUCUACGGCCAAGAUUAUCUGUCGAAUAUAUUUCCCGACAAUUUUAAAAGACAAAUUUUUCGCCUCUCAGCUGUGAGCGGGAACAGAUAUUUUCGACAGAAUUCCAUUGAAAUUAGCUAAUUUCAACAUAAAUUUUCUAUCGAAAUUACUUGAGUUCUUUGUAGCUUGUUUUCACAAAUACGCUGAUAGCCUUUGGGGACGGGUAUAUUGUUUUCACAAAGCCCUGGUGGUAUGUGAGAUGCUUCGAAGGACUGCAACUGAAGUCGAUAAGAACAUGCAGAAAGAAAACCGAUCCAUCUUGAUAAACUUGAAAAAUGUUGUCAUAUGGUGAUAUAUACUCCCUGGCCCCAGUCUCUUGGAAAGAACUUGGUUGAUUUUUUUUUUUCAGUAUUGUUGGAGCUGUCAUACUAGUGCUAGUGUGCCGACUAGCACUAGUAUGACAGCUCCAACAAGUAUCCAUCCCUAAUAAUUGCAGCAAAUUAAAAAAUAUAGCUAUAUCUUUUUAGCAAUGGUGCAAUUUGGAAAGCUUUCUCAUCAUCUUCUUCUUUUCUUUAUCUCAUUACUCUCAUCUAGUUCCACUGUCCUAUCUGCAACAAUUCGCGAAGGAGAAGCUCUUGUGGAAUGGAAGAACAGCCUAUCCCCGAAUUCAUUUCUUGGUUCUUGGUCACUAAUUAAUCUCACUUAUCUUUGUAAUUAAGUGGACUGGCAUUGUAUGCAACUCUGCAGGUUCAGUCAGUCAGAUUAAUCUUCAAGAACUCACACUUGCUAACCUCCGUUUCUUUUCGUUUCCAAAUCUCACCAAUCUCAACAUUACACAUAACAACUUCACUGGUCCAAUACCACCCGAGACUUUAGCUAUAGUAAUCUCAAUGGUACCCUUCCAUACCAGGUCAGCCAUCUUCAGAGGUCGGUCGUCUUAGGCCUCUAAUUUAAUCACUUGAAAGCUCUAAGCUUGUCCAAUUUUUCCCCCAUGCCUAUACUGGUUGGUCGCGGUCUUGGUGGUAAUAAGCUGGCGUCAAUUUUUCCAGAAUUCAUAUCUAAUUGCUAUAACAUGAUUAACCUUGAUCUUUCAUUUAACAUGUUAACUGGUGAUCCCUUCAACAACUUGCGAAUCUUGGAUCUCUUCGACAAUGAAUUCACUGGUUACUUGCCAAUCCAAUAUUUUAAUAAUAUGAAACCAGUUAAUACCGUGAUUGAUUAUUACAACAUAACAGUGAAUCAUGAUUAUCAAGCAUGUCUUGUUAACAUUUUGCACUCGUAUUAAUUGUCUUAUAUAUGACUAACUCAUCUUGCACUCGUAUUAAUUGUCUUAUAUAAUACUAAUAACAAAAAUAUGAGGCGGUGCUUAGUCAGAUGAUUUUAGUUGUUAAAAUAUUUUUGUGUUAUUUAUAGAUAGUGAAACAUGUCUAAUAUUUUAUCAAUUUUGUUUCGUUUCUUGAGAUUUCCAAAUAUUUAUUGGGACAUUGUACCAUGGUGUAUUUCACAUAUUCGCAAUUUUAAUUAUUUUGUAUUUUUAUUUUAAAGAUAUGAUAAAGUUUAUUUAUUUAUUUGUUUUUAUCUUAAAAGCGAUUUUCGAGUGUUGCUUAAACCUCGAAGAUUCCAAUCGAGUUUUAUUCUCGGAUCUGUUUCGGAAUUGAGCUUGGCCUUGAUUGUUUUCUGAAUAAAUCAGAUCUUUUGAAAUCAAAGGUUCGAUUGUGUUUUCCCGUCUCGCCUUUUGGCGUGUGUUGAUUUAGUACCCAAUUUUUGGGUGAUUCUGCGUUGUUAUAUUUGUGGUUGUUAUGUCUUUCUGUGUUAUCAAUGAGAAUGAUUGGGAUGGAGUUUUGGGAGAUUUGGCUUAUCGCAUCAUUACAUCUUUCGGCAUGUCUAUAGCUGGCUCCCGGCAUGUAGAUAGCUGGGGUAUGCUUGGAACGGUGGCGAUCGCAUGUGCUCACCUGUCACAAAUUAUAGUUGUUCAUUAUUCGAGGGCUCUUGUUCCUCGUUGCUUAGUUUUUACAACUGAGUCGUCUGAACACCGCAACAGCCAUGGAACUAUUGUGAAGGUCAAUUGUGAAGCUAUCAUUUUCGAGAUUGAUGUAGGCUGGAUUACUCGAGAAGCUUUUGUAUUCAUUUUCAGUUUCAAGAAUUCUUGAAUUCAGUGUGUUAAGCAGUCUGGAAACAAUGCGGCUAUUUGAUUAGCUCGUUUUAUUGUUUAUCAACCUGAUUGCAUUGUCAGUUGGGGAUUUGUCCCGAUUAAACUUGUUUUAAUAUAAUGGAAUGAAUUUGCAUUUUGUCAAAAAAAAAAAAAAAAAGCGAUUUUGAGUUGUUUGAGUUAGAUAUAUACUCCUACUGUGGUUCAACUAGUUUUGCCAUAAGUGAAUAACUUCCGGUCAAUAUUUUGAAAUUUGUCGUUAUCUUCUAAUUAAAAUAAAGGGUUAAAUAGCUACUUCAUCAUUAAUAUCGUUGAAAAUUUGCAGCUGAGUCAUGUUGUUGAAAAGACUUUCAAACUGCAUCAUUAAGUAAUUAAAAAAUUUCAAAAACACCACUCUCCGUCAGUUAUGUUAAACAAUUAACGGAAAGUUCGAAAAAAAAUAAAGAAAAGACAAAAAAACAUUAAAAAAAUUUGAAAAAAAAACCCGAAAAAAUGUGAAUAAACUAUGAUAUUUUUUUUCUUUUUUUGAAAAAUGUGAAUAAAAUCAAAAAAUCAAAAAAAAUGGGAAACCAAAAGUGGCAAGCUUUUUUUUUUUUUGUUCCUUUCAAAUUUUCUAAAAUCUGGGGAAAAAAGAACUUGCCAACUAAUUUUUUCCAAAUUUUUUCAAAUUCUUUUCAGAUUUUUGAAUUUUUUUCCAAUUUUUUCCUCACUUUUUUUCUGUUUUUUUUUGAAUUUAUUAAGAUUUUUUUUGUUUUUUCUGCUUAUUCUGAAUUUUUUAAGAUUUAUUCGCAUUUUUAAAAAAUAUUUUUGAAUUAUCCGUUAAGUAAUUAAUGGAACUGACGGAGAGUGAUGCUUUUGAAAGUUUUUAAUUACUUGAUAAUGCGUUUGAAAAUUUUUUCAACAACAUGACUCAGUUGCAAGUUUCCGGCGAGGUUAGUAAUGAAUUAGUUAUUUAACUCUUAAUAAAAAUCUAUCUAAACAAUAUUAUAAAUAUAAUGUUAUGGGUUCGAUGAGUCGUGUAAAACAUGGAAGAAGUUUAGGUGGGGUAAAAAGAGCCUAGCUGUGUGAUUUCCAUUCUGUUAUACGUGAUAUACUGUAGUUGAUCAUCUCCUUUGUCCGCUUCAUCCUGUGCAACCUUAACCUUUAAGGAAAAACUUAUGAGAUUCUCUAGUGCAUCUAAAUUCUUGUGUGAAGAAUGUGAAGAAAAAUGUUAGUCUCAGAUUAUUUUUCCUAAAAUGCUUGCAUGUUACAUUUUAUAUGUAUGUCCUGACUUUAAGUAUAAUUUAGCAUUUUUAUUUAGUAUUGUGUAAAAAUAAUAUAUUUUAUUCAGUCUUAUUAAAAAUAUAAUCAUGUUAUACUGUAAAAGUAUUUGUGAAUUUCUUUGUUACAUAUGUGUUUAAAUUAUUUUAUUUAUAUAUGUUUUACAAUUUUUUACAAAUAUAUAGGUUGAGUAUUGCAUAGGAAUAUAAUUACACGUUAGCAAAUAUGAUUAUGUGUAAACUGUUCUGCGUGCAUGUAUAUUGCUGCUAAGUUUUAAACUUCUUACUAACCGGAAUAAUUUUGACAGAUGUGUGGAACUUGAUUAAUUUAGUUGCACUAUAAGAGAAAGCGUUUUUGUCAAUAAAAAUUGUUAAGGAAAUUAGUCCGUUGGUAGUUCUCAACGGAUUUGUAACAAUUUGACUGGUCAAUGUUCUGUCAACCAAUUCGUAAUGAAAUACCCACACUUAUUUACAACGAGAUGUUCUAUUAGGAAAUAUAGCCACACAAUGGAAUAAUAACAAAAGACCAAGGAAUGAGCAACAGACUAGCAACGAAAGUAUCUGUUAUUACAUUCGUUGAUAUUCCCUUGAUAAAUACUAGACUUUUUAGCACUUUGGUGGCUUGUACUAUUUCAAAUUUGCACGUUAGUGGCCGACCUUUAAAAGUCAUCAAUUGUGUUGCUGAACUUAUUUUUUUUUAACACAUUAGGGGCUCCGCAUCAUAUCCGUUAAAUCGAAGUAACGGCGUCAAAUGAUCAAUACAUAUCUCCUCCUCCUCUUAUUUCCCUCCAAAUUAAAAAACGAAACGGCUACCCUCUUUUCCGAAGCAAGAACGACGACGAAUUCCUGCUUACAGAGAUGAGUUGGUUCCGGCGUCUUAAAGAGGAUGCUGAUGUGUAUUAGCCUCGACAGUGCCCCGAUUACUGUAGUAAGCUCUUCAACUUUUCUUCUUUGUAGCAUAUGAAAUGAGUUUAAUUGACCAUUAUUUCAGUGUUUGUUGUUGUUAGUGGCUAGUUGUUUAGUAUUAUGGACCUGCAAUUGCUUUAUACUAUUAAAAUGAAAGAUUCUGCUUGUGGGUUUUUAAAAAUUAAGGCUUUUACAUAGUCCAAGAUUCGGUCAUUAUAAAAUCAAUUUAUGCCUGUUUUAGUAUAGUGCUUGUUGUUAGUGGCUAUUUGUUAAGUAUAGUGUUGUUUAUUGUAAAUAAAACUGUUGCUUUGCACUCUACAUUUGCAGAACCUGGUGAUUUUACCCUAAAAAUAUAUCAUGGGGCCGAUUGGGUAGAUAACCCUAGGGCAUAUGUGGGAGGUACAGUAGAUUUCUUUGACUUCUGUAAUGCUGAUCAGAUCAGCAUAAUUGAGAUAUAUAGUAUGUUGAAAGAGGUUGAUGAGUUUGGGUUUCACCAACUGUGGUAUAAGCUACCUGGCACUACAUUCGAUAGAGCUUUUGUACUAAAUAAUGAUGAGGAGCUAAUGACCAUGUGUGAGCUUAUAUCUGAUGUGGAUAAGUAUAUGGAGAUUUAUGUCACCACUAUGGCACAUCUAAGUAUAGUGCCCUAUAGAGAUUUAGAGGUUGAAUUUGUUGAACCAACUCCUAAAGAAGCACCUGAAAAGAACAAUCCAUCACCUGAAAAGAUCAAUCCAGCACCUGAAAAGAUCAAUCCAGCACCUGCAAAGAUGUAUCCAGCACCUGCAAAGAGCAUUCCAACUGUGGGAAAUGAUGAUGAUCAGGAAGAGUUUGAGUUUGAUUUUGACAAUACACGGUUUUGGGAUACCACCCAAAAUGAAAUUGAAAUUGUGCAACAAGUUAGGGAAAUGGAGGGGUUGGAAGAGGAAUUUUCAGACACAGAUUCUGAUGAUGAGGAUUUUGUGCCAGAAGAAAAGGAAAGUAGUGAUGAGACCUUCCACUGUGAUAGUUCCAAUCAAGAUAAUUCUGAUGAUGAUUUGUUGUUUGAUGAUGAUUACUACCAUCCUUACCAGCAGAUGGAAACCAACAAAGAAAAAUAUACAACAACAACAACACAGCAAGAAUUUUCCAGUUCCUUGCUUGCUUCUGCGCCUCGGAUAGUUCUUCACUGUAGAAAUCCUUGUACUCAUCUUUGGCCUUAAUCAUUUCAGCAAAACAUUCAUCGUCCUUGUUCUUCAAACGCCUUAUCAGUCCAUUGAUUACACUCUUGCUGCGCGCAUCAAACUCGGGUUCAACCCACUUGAAGAAAUUGCACCUUCCAUUCACGCAAGUCAAGAAUCUUCUACCCGGAUUGUACUCCGUCCACGAUGUCUUCUCCACUGCCCAGCUUCCACACAUACAUUGUUGAUUCAUCUUUGCAGAGCUUUUUGGUUUGGAUGAGAGAUUUAGGUUUGAAUAUGCUCAAUUACACACAGCAGAAACGUAUAUAUAUACACAGCAUAUAGCCGUUGCAAAAAUAUUUUCCUGAAAUACCCCUGACGACCGUUACUUCGAUUUAAUGGAUAUGAUGCGGAGCCCCUAAUGUGUUAAAAAAAAAAUAAGUUCAGCAACACAAUUGAUGACUUUUAAAGGUCGGUCACUAACGUGCAAAUUUGAAAUAAUACAAGCCAUCAAAGUGCCAAAAAGUCUAAAUACUAACAGUUUCGUUAGUAAUUGAUUAUUAGUUUUACAUGGACAAUUGAUAUACACCACAUGAGCACAUACACGGAUACAAUGCCAGGCUCUUAGUUGAAAUGUGUGUACUGCUAAAGCUCAAGGAGAUUUAGUUGACUAAAUUGAUUUGAGUUGUAGAAAAAGGUUUAAUAAUAUAAUGGACUUUGAUAUAUGUAUUGUAGAUAUUAAGUAAUUCUCUUGAAUUUAUAUAUGUAACAUAAUUGUUAAUUGGCUCAUCCUUAACUAGAUAUUUUAUAUUACAUUCUUAACUACAGAUUUUGUAUUUAAAAUUUUUUUAAAAAAUUAACCUUUAUUUGGUAUGUGGAUUUUGUAGUCAAAUGUGGUCAAUUUACUUAGCCUUCGAUCGAAUACCUACCCAAAACAUAAAAAUAUUUUUUAAUCAUUUAUUUUCGACGAUCCAACUAUACGGAUAUUAUUGUAAUGUGAUAAUAUUGUUUACAAAUUUUUUUUAAAAAAAUUAGCCUUUUAUUUGGUAUGCGCAUUUUGUAGUCAAAUGCAAUUAAAUUACUUAGUCUUUAGUGGAAUCUUUACCCGAAACAUAAAACUUUUUUUUAAAAAAAAAUUUGGACAAUCCAACCGUACAGAUGUUAUUGUAACGUGUUAAUAUUGGUUAAAAUAAAUUUUGAGAAAAUAUGUCUUUUAUUUGGUGUGUGGAUUUUGUGGUCAAAUGCGGUCAAAUUACUUAGCAUUUAAUCGAAUACUUACCCAAAACAUGAAACUAUUUUUUUUAAAAAAUAAUUUCGGACGAUCCAACCGUACGGGGGUAUUGUAACACAAUAAUAUUGAUUAAUUUUUUUAUAGGAAAAUUAUAGCCUUUUAUUUGUUGUGUGGAUUUUGUUGUCAAAUGCAGUCAAAUUACUUAGCCUUUAAUGAAAUACUUACAUUAAACAUGAAUUUAUUUUUUUUUAAAAAUCAUUUGGAUGAUCCAAUCGUACGGAUGUUAUUAUGACAUGUUAAUUGAUUAAAAAAAUAUUUAAAAAAAAUGCCUUUUAUUUAGUAUGUGGAUUUUGUAGUAAAUGCUACUUAGCCUUUAAUCGAAUACUUACCCGAAACAUGAAACUAUUUUUCUAAAAAUCAUUUUGGACAAUCCAACCGUACGGAUGUUAUUGUAACAUGAUAAUAUUGAUUGUUUUUUUAUAUAAUAACCUUUUAUUUGGUGUGUGGAUUUUGUAGUAAAAUGCGGUCAAAUUACUUAGCUUUUAAUCGAAUACUUACCUGAAACAUGAAACUAUUUUUAAUAAAAUUAUUUUAGAUGAUCCAACCAUACAGAUGCUAUUGUAACGUGAUAAUUGAUUAUUUUUUAAAAAAAUUAGCCUUUAAUAUGGUGUAUGGAUUUUAUAGUAAAAUGAGGUCAAAUUACUUAGUCUUUAAUGGAAUAUUUAUUAGAAAUAUAUUUUAAAAAAUUAUUUUGGACGAUCCAAACUGUAUGAAUGUUAUUUUAACAUGUUAAUAUUGAUUAAAAUUGUUUUUAAAAAAAAAUUAGUUGUAUUUUAUGUGUGAAUUUUUAGUCAAAUACGAUAAAAUAUUUAUUUAGCUUGUAAUGAAAUAUUAAAACCCUACUUCAAAAGAAACUUGUCUAAAACUACCUAUAAGUGUUAGAGAAUCAUCGAUUUAGUUAUCAAAUUAGUUAUCAUAAGGGUUUUACUCCGCUUUUCUCUGGUAUGAUGUUGAUUUUUGGGGUUUGAUUGGUCGAUUUUCAUGUUUUAUAAGUUAUGUGAGUUCGAUUUUGAUGUUUUUACAAUUAGGUUUAUGUAUGUUCUUAUACAGGUUUCAUGUUCAUGUUUUGAUUUGUUGAUUUCCUAUUUUUCAUAUUUUGUUGAUUAGUUAUUUGUGUGGGUUUUGAACUUUGAUGAGUGUGUAUGUAAUCUCCUGUUUUUUUUUUUCAUUUUUCUGGUUCGAACACUUCGAUUAGUAGCUGGAAAAACAGCUGAUGCGGCAGUAGCGGCUAGUGAGAUGGAUAACAAGAAAAGGAUGAUUUCGAGGUCAUCUCGUGCAAGUCUUCAGAUAUAGUUUUGUUCCUUUAUGUUUUUAAUUGACAUAAAUUUUCACAUUUGAUGAUUAUAUUAUGGGGGAUUCUGGGUAUACUUGUAUAUAAUCUAGCAAGUUAUUAUAAUUCUGGACGGGGGGCUUAUUGUGAAAUUAAAUUGAGGGAUAAGUUGUGUUAUUGGUUCUAGUGGAUUAAAUUUAUGUUGACACUUGAUAUAUGCAUUGAUGUCGUAAAAUAAGUUGCACAUCAAACUAUUUGGCUUGUUUAAGUUGUAUGGAGUAAGGCUGUACGCGGAUCGGAUCGGUUCGGUUGGAGGGUAAUAACCAAACCAAACCGCAACUUACGGUUUUCUAAAAUCUCAAACCGCGACCAUACUGUUGGUUAAAAAAACCCAACCAAAUCCAUCCACGUAAUUGCGGUUGGUUGCGGUUCAACUGCUAAAAUAGUUAUAACAAAGAAAAUAUAUAAGUUAUUGCUUAAAAUCUUGCAUAAAGUACAGACUUUAACUCAAAAAUAUAUAAUUUAUCACUUAAAAUCUUGAAUAAAGUUAAUACAAUAAAUCUGAUUACAUAUUACAAAAGCAAACUACUCCGGAAAUAUAUAACUUGAAGCAGAGCUUCAAGUUAAUGGUUAUUAAAAAUUUCAUCCGCGACUGCCCACAUUUUACGGUUAUCCAUAAUACACGGAUCGGUUGCAGGUGGUUGUUGCGGUUAAUGCGGUGGAGCGGAUUGAACGUACAGCCCUAUGAAGUAUGGUUGCCAAGCAUUGGUUGGUUGUACACGUGUAAACAAAAUGAUAUUUUAAUAUUUAAACAAAACAAUACAGUCAUAAACAGAUCGUGUCGGGCUGGACUGAUUGUGAUUUUCCUUUUUGGAACUCGUACUCGGCAUCUUCCAAGCGAAUGAUAUUUAGAAGUUUGUUGCUAGUAUACUCCAUGUCAUAAUAAGAGUUCUUUAGAUUUUUUAUAUGUAAUUCGAAGUAUAAAAAACAUAUUUUAACAUAUUAUUUUUAAAUUUUUUAUACAUAAAAAUAUAACAUCUAUAUUUUUAUUUAGAAAAAAAUUUGAAAUAUAAUAUAUAGAUGCAUGUCUUUUUUAUACGUGAAAUUACAUGUAAAAAAUUAAAAGACUCUUAUUUUGAGUAAGAGAGAAUAUGAUGUACCAUAAAGUCAUCGAUCUUUUGUUAUCAAAUAAAUGUGAUAUUUAAUUAUUUAAGAGCAAGUCCAAAAGUAUCUUAGUUAAAGUCCUAAAUAUAAUAUAAAAUAUUACGUUCUGGUGAUUUAGGAUAUAUUUUACUAACUUGGACUCCAACAAUGUGUCUUAUUCUCAUAAGAAGUUUAAUAUUUUAUUAUUAAAGACUCUCUUUCAUCAUUAAAGCAUAAUAUAAAAGUAGAGAGAGAAAAAGAGUGUUGAUAAGAAUUAAUAAUAAAAUAUGGGAUAGGGUUAGGAGAGAUGUGCCUCAAAAAUAGGGUUUGAGGAGUUUCAUUAGGUGUGGACACGGAGACCAAGAAGUAAAAGAUGAGUACAGUUAAAUGAAGAUGUGGUAAAAUAAUGUGACCCAUUUAUAUUUAAUAAUACAUUUGAAAUAGUGGAGGAAAGUAACGAGUGUAAUAACGUUUAUAUUAUUAUAGCAUAUAGAUAGCAGAAGAAAGCAAUGGGUAUAAAAGUGUAUUAUAUUAUUAAAGUUUUGAAAUGUUUAGAAAUAAUGGGGCAAUCAAAAAGAAAACUGUAUAAAAAUGGACGAGAGAAUACAAUUCAAGAAGUAAUAUAUCUCAAUUCAAACUAGGUAAUAUAUUUAUGAAUUAUAUUAAAAAAAAUUUGACAUUCAAAUAUAAAAAUUUAUUUUAUCAUCUUAACAAUGGAAUAUUCGAUUAUUAACUUUCGUAAAUAACAUUAAUUUUUCAUUAUAAUAUACUCUAAACUUUUAUUUUAUGUGCCUGUUUGUUUACAAGAAGCUGGAGUCCUACUUCUCUUGACUCGUUUGUGUAAAAACGUAAAAAGUGCUUUUAAAAAGUACUGAGAAGGAAAUGGAAGUAGAAAAUGCUAGUUUUUCUUUAUAAUAUCUAUUUCUUUUCUAGACACUUUAAUAAUUUAUAUAUAUUAAUUUAUUUCUCACUUAUACUCCAUUUUUUUAUAGAGAACUUCUUUUAAACUAAUCGGCUCCUAUAAUCAGUAGUUUCUCAAUUUUAAUAGGAAUAAGAGCAUGUUUAUCUGAGCUUAAAGCCCGGGGUUUAUAUCAUCUCUGGCUUUAAGCUGAAAAAUGUAUGUUUGUGUAUUAAGUCGGAAGUCGGCUUAAAGUCGGAAAUAAGUCAAAAAUUGACCUAAAACCAGAAGUUAGUUUGAGAUACUUUUCUCGGUGACUAAUUUUUUUUUUAGCCAUUUUUUGAUAAAAAUUAUUCCUAAAUCACAAAUUACUCAUAAAUUACUUUUAUUAUUAUUAUUAUUAUAUUUUUAAUAACUUAUAAAUUAUUAAUAAAUCAAAAUUAAUCAAACAAAUAUUUUAAGUUCUCAUAUUAUGAGAUAACUAACGUUAAGUCAUGAAUCAACUGAACGGGAUGUAAGUCUUCUUCUCCCCGAGUCAUCAGCAGACUUUUUCCAUGUCUUCUGAGCCCCCAUUGGCUCACAAUUGGCCCAAAAAAUAUUUGGUUAUGCAUUGCUAUUCACACACUUAGACAUCAAAAUUUAUCAUCCGACAGGCGACAGCUAACUGCACACUAUUUUUCCCACAAGCUGAAAAAUCAACGAUCAAUUAAUUUUUCUUAUCAAUUAAUAAAGUUAUGAUUUCACGUACACGGCAGGCAAAAUGCUAAUAAAUAGACGAGUGCAGUAUAGUAUGGGUUCAUGAUCACCUUGAGAUUUAAUUGAAAAAUAUUAUGGUGAUAUAGAUUAAAUUAAAUUAUAAUAUCUUGAAAAGUUAUAAAUAAUUUUAAUUACUAAUAAUAUUUAUUUGUACAUUUAAAUAUUUUUAUAAAAACACAAAAAUAGCAUUAUACUCAUUUAAGUUUCUCGUAUCCGCCUCUCUUCUUGGAGAUUGUGGAUUUGCGAUAUUUAUAUUGAUUAUUAUAGGAAAAUGUUAUUUCCAGAGCAAACAUUUUUAUUUCCGGAGCAAAUUCAAACAAAUUUUUCCAAAUUGUUCUGGAAAUUAAAAUAUUGAUAUGGAUAUAACAAUUCCCUUAUUAUAUCCUAUGUAUAUUACAUUAAUGCAAUUAACAUGGUUGAUUGUUUUAGUAUAUAAUCAUAUUACUGUGACCUUUUAGUAUAUAAUUAUAUUAUUUUUGUUAUAUUUUAUGCAUCUAGAAACAAUUUUUUUAUGAUAUUUAUUAUAUUAAUUAUAGUAAAAGAUAUAAUUUUGUUUAAAAAAUUGAAUAAAACUAAGAGGGAUAGCCUACGUCUCUCCGAGUCUUCGAGGACUCAUUCCAAGUCCGAGAGGACCACAGCCUCAACCUUUAAGAGAUGUGAAAGUAGCUUGAGAGUGAUAUAAAUUUAUUUUUGACAAUAAAAUUUAAUAAUCAAAUAAAUUAAAUUAAAUUAAACUAGUUUAUAAUCGAUUAAAAAUAUAUAAAUCAAAAUUAUUCCCGAAUUAUGAUAACAAUUAAAAUCAUUUUAAAAGUUGCAUAAAUCAAAUCCAAAUCGAACAAAUUCCCCUAACACUAAAAUGUAGUUGCUUUAUUGUAGAUAAAAACAGUAUAAUAAUAGUAUUGAUGAAAAAUCAAAUUCAUCAAAUAAGUUUAUAAAAAAUACAUGAUUUUAAUUUUAAAAAAAAAACAUGAUUUUAGUGUGUUGUAUUAGUAGUGUGUCCACGCAUUUAUAUAUUAAAAUCUAUCCUCUAAAAACUAUCGAUCUAUUUACACAACUAUUGAUCUGUCGUGCAACAAAUUCCAGGGCGAAGUUCCAAAGAGAGCUUAAAUGGCUUGCAUUGCUCAAUCUAUCUCAUAAUAGUCUUAACGACAUAUGUUCUGAAUUAUUAUUAUGAUUUCAACAAUAUUUUCAAACAUUUCUUAAUAUGUAUUUUCAAAGAAUUCUCAAGCACUUGAACAUUUGGACCGGUUCUUUCGAAGCCAGGCAAUGCACAAAAAUGUCCAAAAAUGAAUAAAUUAAGAGAGAGUAGCUCACCCUUUCAAAGCCUUCCAGGACUCAUUCCAAGUCUUCGGAGGACCACUGCCUCCCCCUUUCAAAGAUGUGAUAGUAGCUCGAGAGUGAUAUAAAUUAUUUUCCCGACAUUAAAAAUAAAAAAUCAGAUUAAAUUAAUCAAUAAUAACUUAAGGAUGAAAUCCAAAUUAAUCCUAAAUUUUGAUAAUAUAUAAAAAUUAUAAUUAUAAAUUAUAUAACCAAAUCAGAAUUGAAUUAACUUACUUGGCACUAGAAUUGCUAAAGACAGUAUAAUAAUUUAAUUGAUGAAAAGUCAAAGUCUUCUAAUAAAUCCAUAAAGAAUAUGAUAAUAUGAAAAUUAUAAUUGAAAAAUCAAAAUCAAUAGUGUAUUGGAAUAGUGUUCACACACUUAUAUAUCAAAAUUUGUGGUCCAAAAACUAUAGCACAAUAUCCUAAAUACAUCACAUUAAAUAAUAGCACAAAAAUAUUCAAUAAAUAAUUGAUUUCAUUCAUAAAUUUGUUAUUUUAAAAACUAAUAAUUUGGUUGAUGUUAACCUAUAUUUUAUAUAUAAUUUCGUCUUAUUUUAUUUUACUAGAAACAAUAUUUUUAUAAUAUUUAUUACAUUAAAUAUAUUAAAAGAUAUAAUUUUAUUAAAAAAAUUGAAUAAAAUUAAAAGGAUAAGUCUCGGCCUCUCCAAGUCUACAAGACUCAUUUCAAGUCCACCGAGGGCCUCAACCAUUGAGAGAUGUGAAAGUAGCUUGAGAGUGAUAUAAAUUAAUUAAAUUAGUUAAUAAUGAAUCAAGACUAAUCAUGAAUUAUGAUAAUAAUUAAAUAAAUUAUAAAAUUAAAUUAUACAAAUAACACUAAACCUUAGUUACUUUAUUGGUAAAUAAAUAUAAUAUAAUAAUCAAAUUGAUGAAAAAUCAAAAUCAUUUAAUAAAUUCACAAAAAAUAUAUGAUCAUUAGUAUGUUAUAUUAGUAUCCACACACUUAUAUUUCAAAAUCUAUCCUCCAAACUUAUCAUCUCUGUAAACUAGCCACAUAAAAUAAAAAUUUAAAGAUAUUAGAUAUUUAGUUAUUUUCAUUAUAUAAUUUUUCCACACGAAAUAACAAAAUAUCUUUAUCAAAUUAUUAUUUAUGAGUUAAAUAUUCAAUUUAUAAAUCCAGUAUGCAGCGUAUAAAUAGAAGUGUGCAGUAUGAUAUCAGAUUCACAUAACCCAGUUGAUGAGGAGAAACAUGGCAUACUCUGCAAAGCCUUCUCACCUUCUUCUCUUUGUUUUCUUUCUCUCAUCACUUGAAUCCAUUCUUGCAACAACACGAGAGGGAGAAGCUCUUGUGAAGUGGAAGAAUAGCCUAGCCCCUUCUUCUUUUCUCGACUCUUGGUCACUCACCAAUCUCGAUAAUCUUUGUAACUGGACUGGCAUUACUUGUAACUCUGCAGGUUCAGUCUCUGAGAUUAACCUUAGUGAGAAACAACUUGAUGGAAUGCUGUCCGAGUUUGGUUUCACUUCAUUUCCAAAUCUCAACAAUCUCACCCUCGCAUACAACUUCUUCUCGGGUCCAAUACCGCCAGCCAUUGAGAAUUUAACACAGCUUCAAUACCUUGAUUUAAGCUUUAAUUAUCUCGAUGGUCCCAUUCCGUUCCAGGUUAGCCAUCUUCAGAGGUUGCUCAUCUUAAACCUGUCACAGAAUGCAUUGCAAGCUCCAAAUUGGUCCCAUUUCUCUCCCAUGCCUUUCUUGCGCAUCCUCGACCUUAAUAGCAAUCAUCUUGCGUCGAACUUCCCAGAAUUUAUAUCCAAUUCUCAUAGCUUGGCUAUCCUUGACCUUGGAUAUAACAACUUUACAGGUGACCUUGUGCGUGAAUUUACUAAUCUACAAAAUCUUGAAACCCUCUACCUAGAUGAAAAUUCUUUUGAGGGGCCAUUUCCGCCGGAUGUAUUCAGGCUUUCCAAAUUAAAACAUCUUCGCCUGUCAGGUAACAAAUUCUCAGGUUCAAUUCCCAAUGACAUAAGGUUGCUUUGUGAUCUUGAAUCCCUAUAUUUAAGCAACAAUUCCUUUAAAGGACCCCUUCCAUCAAAUAUAUUCAAGCUUUCAAAAAUAAAACAUCUUGUUCUUUGGAGUAAUAAGUUUUCUGGUUCUGUUUCCAAUGAUAUAGGUUUACUUUCUGAGCUUGAAACCCUCGAUCUUAACUCUAAUUUUUUUGAGGGGCCGCUUCCGUCAAAUAUAUUCAAGCUCUCCAAACUAAGGUAUCUUUCCCUUUGGGGUAAUAACGUUUCAGGUUCUAUUUCCAAUGAUAUAGGUUUGCUUUCUGAGCUUGAAACCCUCGAUCUUAACUCUAAUAUUUUUGUGGGGCCGCUUCCGCCAAAUUUAUUCAAGCUCUCCAAACUAAAGAUUCUUUCCCUUUAUAAAAAUAACUUUUCAGGUUUUAUUUCUAAGGAUAUAGGUUUGCUUUUUGAACUUGAAACCCUCUAUCUUGGCUCUAAUUUUUUUGAGGGGCCGCUUCCCCCACAUGUAUUUAGGCUCUCCAAAUUAAGAGAUUUGGGUCUCAGAGACAAUAGAAAUUUAUUUCAAGGAAGUAUUCCUAUUGGACUGGGACUCUUGACUAAUCUCAGGUACUUGAGUCUAUUUUCCAAUGAUCUCAGUGGCUAUAUUCCAUCUGAGAUUGGAAACCUGAAGCUACUAAAAGUUCUUGAACUCGGUUCUAAUCAAUUGACAGGACCGCUUUUAAAGAUAGUUUCUAAUCUCAAAAAUCUUAUAUAUCUUGGUGUAAGUGGUAAUAGUCUUAGUGGAAAUAUUCAGAGUGACUUGUGGAAAUAUAACGAUCAUCCAACUUUGGAAUACAUCAAUUUAAGUGGGAACCAUUUUACGGGUAUAGUUUCUCUCUAUAGAUCUUUGUCAUAUGUAACUAAGCUAGUAAUCUGAUUAUUGCCUUUUCACCAAAGUUUCAACAAUCUUGACAGGUGAGCUUCCAACAACAAUUUGCAAUGUCACAUCCCUUUUGCUUCUUGAUUUGUCAAAUAAUGAAUUAAGUGGUGCACUUCCAAACUGUUUCGGAAAUCUUGCUGAUAGAUUGCUUUACGUUAAUCUUGCUAAUAAUCAGUUUCGAGGAACAAUACCAACUACUUUCUCCAGGAGUUGUCAGCUGAAAUAUCUAAACAUGGAUAAUAAUGAGUUUGAAGGAUUGUUGCCCCCGUCUUUGGAAAACUGUAAGCACUUGAGAAUUCUUGAUAUUGGCAAUAAUAAAAUAGGUGGUACAUUUCCGUCAUGGCUUUAUGUACUUGGAGAGCUAGAAGUCCUUGUCUUGCAAUCAAAUAAACUCUAUGGUACAAUAAGUGGAAGGAGCAUAGAAGAUCCCUUCCGCAAGUUGCGGAUUGUGGAUCUGUCCAACAACCACUUCACAGGCCAUUUGCCAAUUCAAUACUUUAAGAAUAUGAAAUCAACUGAUAAUUUGUAUAGUUAUCAGCUUUCCACAGCAGUUUUUUCUUUCCAUUAUGAAGCAGCAGUCUCAUUAAUUGUGAAGGGAACAGAGUAUGAAGUAGCAAAUAACCUUCAUAUUUACACAGCCAUUGAUCUGUCGUGCAACAAAUUUCAGGGAGAAAUUCCAAAGGUUACUGGAGAGCUUAAAUGGCUGGCAUUGCUCAACUUAUCUCAUAAUAGUCUAACAGGACCUAUCCCGUCAUUGCUGAGAAAUAUGAAAGAACUCCAAUCUUUAGAUUUGUCCUCAAAUCAACUGACGGGGGCUAUUCCACCUCAGUUAACUGCGCUGACAUUUCUAGAGGUCUUAAACCUCUCGGGAAACCAUCUUAGUGGAGAGAUUCCUCAGAAAGGACAAUUCAGCACAUUCAACAAUGAUUCGUAUCUAGGAAACUCCGCUUUAUGUGGAUCACCAUUGACGAAGAAAUGUGCAAACACAGCAUCACCUCCACAAGAAGUCGGAAAUGUUGAUGAAGAUUAUGCGGGUGAUGAAUUGACAUGGGAAGCAAUCAUGAUCGGAUAUGGAUGUCGACUGAUAUGUGGAUUGUCAUCUGCAUACAUUGUUCUCAAACUAGGAAAGCCUUGGUAGUUUGUGAGAUAUGUCGAAGUACUGCAACAGAAGUUGAUGAAAAGAUGCUUGAAGAAAGGUACUGGUCGACCAAUAAGAACUUGAAAGUUGUUGUCCUGGUAGACAUUUCUGAACCAGUAGUAUUUGGUAUUAUGUGAUAUUCUGUUUGGUCCGGACUCAUAACGAUUUCGCUUGCUUCAGGAGUAUUAAUAUUAACCUUCCUAUCUUGAUCAAUGUUAAUGCAAAUUAAAAUGAAAAGGCAAAAAAUAUGCAUCAAAUCCCCUCCUGUUGUACCAAGAUUCAUUAAUUAAGAGGCAUGGCUUUUGUCUCUCCAAGUCUUCGAGAAAUUAUUCCAAGUCUUCUUUGGAGGCCUACUGCCUCAACAACCUUUCAAAGAUGUAGCAGUUGCUCGACAGUGAUAUAUAUAUUAGAUAAAGACUAUGCAACAACCAACGUGACAGAAAAAUCAAAAUAGGACAAAAUCCGUACGAAUCAAAAUAGUUUAUUUCUAAGGGGAAUAGCUGAAUUAAAUUGUAAGAGAAGUAAAACAGAUUCUUUUAUAUUUUGGAAUAUAACUGAAAAAGAUUUUGAGAUAAUUUUCAGAAAUCAAACCAGUCAAAUAAAUAUUCGCUGAAGGAACAGAGUAAAGAUACAACGAAUAUAACAAGUUGUAAGAUGAAUAUCGCUGAAUCAAACAGGGUAGAACCCGUACAAAAACGCCAAACAGAAAGGAUCAAAACAGAGUAAUCAAAUUUACCUAACACUAAUAGAAGUAGUGCUGAAUAAAAGAGAACGAAAUCUGUACCUUAAAAAUAGCAAACGCAAACACUAACCAACCUCACAAGGGACCAUCUAAACUCCCUAACCCCGACUUUAUCUUAAACUCCAAAUAUCUCCCUGACUCCAAUAUGCCCAGAACAAUAAACGAAUGUUUUGACCUUCUAAACGAUGUUUUCUGGAAUAACGCAAAACACGAAAAUCGUAGAGAACGAAAAGACCUUUCCGAAAAGGUAAGGCUCGUCAAGAACGGAGUCAUAACGAAUCGGGAAUUAAAUAAAACGUCCGCUGAUUCAGAACUCAAAGCGAGAACAGGAUCUGAUUAAGUUUUGUAAUUUUGAGAACAGUUUGAAACAUAAUCUGAGAAAACAUUAUAAACGAAAGUAUAUGAGAUUGAAAGAGCUUUCCGAAACAUCAAGAAUCAUCAAAUUCCGAUAAGAAUUGAAUUUUCUACGAAUUUUACAAGACAGCUGAUUUGUGAGAAUAAAGCCCUACGAAUUUUUGUCAUAAAAAUGAAGAGAAGGUUGAGUAGCUCUCAAAAGUAUAUAAAAAGAAUGAGAGAACAAAUCAAUAUACUCCCUUUGUCCCUCUCGUUUAUUUACAGUGUUUGACACGCAUUUUAAAGCGCAUAUAAAACAUAGUUCUAUGAUUUAUUUUCAAAAUUUUUCUUUUUUGUAUAAAAAUUUAAACAUCAAAUUUUUAUCUAGAAAAAAAGGAAGUUCAAAAUAAUUUAUUGAACUACGUUUUACGAGAGCAUUAGAAUGCGUGCCGAGCCCCCGUCCCCCAAUGUAAACAAAUGAGAGGGACGGAAGGAGUAUAUAUACAGAGUCUUGAGACCCUAAUUCUAAACCUAUCCAUUAUCUGAAUGCAAGGCUGAUCUAUAUUUUAAGUACACUAUCCUAAUUCAAUUUUAAAUCCUAUUCAUAAUCUAAUUUUAAUCCUUUAUUAUUAUUACUAACCAAUUAAUAUUAUUUUAAAAAAAUACUGGAUAUUACAUUCCUGAUCAGACUAGUGAUCGGAUUGCAACCGCAAAGCAGCCUAUAUAUAGUGACAAUUAAAUACACAACAAAACAACUUCUUUCUUCUCUCUUGGGUUAUAAUACUCAGACGGACAAGCUAUAUCUGAGGCGAUUUUCUGGGCGAUUAAACACACAAUAAAAGCAGCUUCUUCUUCUUCAAUUAAGGUUUAUUCUACACCCAAUCACAUACACACACACACUUUAAUAUGACUAGUGAGUUCAAUUUUUGGUGGUAUUAUAUGAUUAUCAUGUUCUCUUUUUAAAUAUUAGUAACGUUAUUUUCGGAGUGGACUCUGUUGAUGUUUAAAUUUGAUAUAGAUAUUGUAAUUGAAAAUUUAUGUUGAUUUGUUGUUCAGAUUUCAAGUAUUAAUUUGUGUGUGAUCAAAAUUUUGCUUCUACAUCGAUUAUCAGGAGGAAAUAUGAGGCCGAUCUUGAUCAAAGGACACGAAAGGCCAUUAACAUAUCUAAAGUAUAACAAGGAGGGUGACCUCCUCUUCUCCUGCGCAUUAGACAGAAACCCCGCUGUUUGGUACGCUGAUAAGGGAGAGCUUUUAGGCACUUACCGUGGGCACAUUGGUUCUGUUUGGGGUUGUGAUGUUUCUAGGGAUUCAAAACUUUUAAUAACUGCAAGUGCGGAUCAAACAGCAAAGGUAUGGGAUGUUCAAACUGGGUCUGAGCUGUUCACGUUUGAAUUUAAGUCCACUGUGAAAUCAGUAGAAUUUGGUGUCGGAGACAAGCUUGCUGUCAUUGCAACAGACUCCUUUCGUGACAUGUCUUCUGCAAUUCAUGUCAAACACAUAGCCAGAGAUCCUAGUGAACAGUGCGGUGAUUCUGUGAUUGAAUUCUCACCUGGAGGAAGAAUCAAUAGAGCUGUUUGGGGACCUUUAAAUAGGACCAUAAUAAGUGGUGGUGAACAAGGCGUUGUUCGUGUGUGGGACGUUGAGACAAAGAAAGUGAUUUAUGAGUCAGACAAGGAUACUGGUCAUCAGAAGGCCAUUACAUCACUUGCAAAAUCAAGAGACGGUUCACAUUUACUUACUGCUUCCAUUGACAAAUCAGCUAAGCUUUGGGACAUCAGAUCAAUGAAACUUCUCAGGACAUACAAGGCUGAAGCCCCAGUUAAUGCAGUUGCACUCUCUCCACUACUUGAUCAUGUCGUGCUCGGAGGUGGUCAAGAUGCAUCGACUGUUACAAACGAUCCUCGUGCUGGCAAGUUUGAGGCCAAAUUUUAUUCCAAGGUCCUUGAAGAAGAAAUUGGAUCUGUGAAAGGACACUUUGGUCCGAUAAAUGCAUUGGCAUUCAACCCUGAUGGAAAAAGUUUCGCAAGUGGAGGUGAAGAUGGUUAUUUGCGAUUACAUCACUUUGAUCAUGACUACUUCAACAUGGCGAUUUAAUUCGAAUUACUUACAUUGCUACGUCUUUUUUUUUUUUUUUCCGGUUUUAUUCAAGUUAUUUUCUGGUUUUUAUGUUGAUCUUAUGUUCUUUGUUAUAAAUAGAAGUGUGGUUCCUUUUAAAACUAUUUACAUAAGUUUUUGGCUUUUCAUGUAAUUUAAUCAAAGUAAAUGCCAUGAGAUCCUGAAUAUAUCUACUUAUCUAUCUAUCUACUUAUUAAAGCAGAAUCAGGGGAAAAAUAUACCAGAAAUUGGAUGAAAAAUUUACAUACACACCCUCAAUUAUUCAUCAAUUCCGAAAUUGGCCUGUAGUUUAGCUGUUAACUUGCAGGAUUUUUGUAAAAGUAGGAAUCAGCGAUUCUUAGGUACCCCAGUGACCCCGAAUCGGUUUCUCAGAUUCUUGGAAAUCCUCGGUCAGUUGAUUUAGAUUGUGGGCAUAUAUACACCUAUAGUCAGCCUCCGGCGGUGCAAUCUUUUGGUGGUGUUUUUCAGCCUUUUCUGCUAUAGCGAUUCUUGUUAAAACAUUCAGGUGCUAGGGUUGUUUUGUUGGUAAAGGGAAUUGGAUUGUUGUAUCUGCGGUUGUGGCAAAGGUAAUUUUCUUGCCCUUGCUAUUCUUUUGGGAUGUCUGAUUAUAAAUAGCCCUUCUAACUUUGUUCACCUGUUCUGUAUGAUGUGUGUCAUUUGUGAUUGAGUCGAGCAGUAUAUCAUUUUGAUGCAUAUUGUUAAUUUCACUCUGGGAAAUUUUUAUGCUGAUGUUUGGGCAAUUAAUUCUGGUUAUUUCGUUGAUUUUGUUUGUGGUUUGUUUCCACCUGCCAUUAGAACUGUAAAGUAAAGUGUAUUUAUUGAUCAUGAUUCAAGUGUUUGUAGAUAAUCGAUGUGGGUGACAAAGAAGCUGCAAAUGAUGAUGGUUCUUCACAAAUUUUAUCUGCUUUGCUUCCUUUUGUUGUGGCUCUCACCAUGGUUGUCAAGUCGACGACUGCUGUUGCUGCUCUUGCUCAGCCCUCAACUUUCACCUGGUAACAACUUUUGUAUGUUUGGUAAAAUAUUUUGAUUUUUUUUUUUUUGUAAGGGUAAAAUAUUUUGAUUGUGAUAAGCUAAUUUAUUGUUUUUUAAUGAUUCCAACACUACAACAGAUUUAGCAUCACACAACGGUUUUUGCCCGUUGUCUGAGACCACGGAAAACCGUGGUCUAUCGAGACGCCGUCUGAUAUGCGUAUCAGACAACGGUGCGCACCGUUGUGUGAUAGUGCUAAACACGAUGGUUUACGUUAAAAAAAUUGUUGUGCAACACCCAGAACCAACAACGUUUACUCUUAAACGUGGUGUUGUUAGAAACACUCCUUAACAAUAGUCGAUUUCAAAAAUGGUGUUGUUAGAGAGACUAUCCACAACAGUUUUAUUAGCUCGCAAGACUUGUUGGAAAGAUGAUCAUACAACAGUAGUUGAAAUAGAGAAGCUCGUUCUUUCCUCUCUUGUACAACGGGUUUCGAACACCAAGCCACUUGUGUAAGGCCCCUUCUAACAAUGUUUUAAUUAGUGAGGUUGUUGUGUUUAGUUACGUCAGACAAUGGUUUUCUUUCAUAGUUGGUUGUCGUUUACAUGUUUUAACAAUUGUUUCUGUUUCAUCAUUAUUGCAAGUCAUUUGUUUGGACAAUGGUUUUGUGACAAUAAAUCAUUGUUUCCAGUUUUAUGAGACAAUGUUUUUAAUGAAUAAUGAUUAUUGUAUCAUGUUCAGUAUGACAAUGGCCCUGUAUUAUCCCAUUACCUAAAUACAUAAUAGACAAUGAUUAACAUAACUCGAUUAAACUAAGCUAGAGAAUGUAAUUAAAAAGCCAAAAAUUUGUAAACAAAAAAUUUCAUUAUGCACUAAUAACCAUUGUUACAACCAAAUCAUAUAUACCAUCCAAUAUCCAGAAAUAUUUCCCCCGAGGAUGGCAAAUCUCAAAAAUAUAAAUACCUACAAUAAAUGGUAGCAUCUAGAGAGGCAUAUGUGACUACAAGAGUCUUUUGUGAGCUUUUCAACUACCCAGCCCAGGAACAAUCCUCUGAUUGCAUUCUUUUGAUUCGGAUGGAGCCCUCCUGCUAUCUCUUUUGGAAGUGACUCUACUGCAACCACCUGUAAUACAUAAAAAAGUUCUUGAUAUGCUUUUCGUACAAAGAAAUUAAUGUGGUUGAGGAGUAUGUUUCGAGUUCAAAAUAUACCAGUGUGCCAUCUUCCAUGGUUUCACGUCAUUCAUACACAAUAAAUUGUAGCAAUUGUGAGCCCUAUCAACAUACCAGUCUUUCUGUAUUUAGAGUUGGAGCAGCUAAGCCAAAAUCAGACAAAUGGGGAUUGAGUUCAUCAAGUAAAAUAUUUGCUGACUUUAAGGUACUAUUAACAACAUAAGGAACAACAUCAGCAUCUUGCUUCUAUCAUCAGUGAAGUAUAAAAACUCUUGCAAGCUACUAUUUGCAAUAUAAUCAUGGACCAGAAGACGUACCAUGUUCAGCGGAAUAUCAUUCAAAUCUCUGGCAUGGUUGUUGUGAUGGAUAAAAAUAAGUUCCUUUAUGACCUGAAUUAAACAUUAAAAGAUACCAAAUUAACCGAAAUGCGUAGAGAUGCACAAAAAGUCCAGGCCCGAAAAUAUGGUCAUAGAGAUUUAAAAAAAGUCGAAAAUAAAGACAAACCAUGUGAGUAAAAAGCAGAGUAAGGAGGAUUGAUGGUAGUGUUUGAUAUAGAUGCCAUGUGGGUAGAUCCAUAUGAGCUGCUGGAAGCAGAGAGAUUUCUUCCAAACUCUCUUACAUUAUUGACAACAUUUGUGUUAACAUAUAUGUGUUGUAUAUGAAAUUUUAAAGAUUAGAUACAUAAAUAUAAUAUUAUUCGGAAAAUAUAACAUACCAUCUCGAGUCAUUUUCUUGCUUGGUCAUUAAAAUAACCUACAGCAAGUAAUGUACCCUCACUCUAUAAGAAGAAGAUGGACAAAAAGAAGUCAGUUGUAUGGAUGCCUCGGAAUAUAUACAAGAAUGUCCCAGGGAUAUUUAUUCAGUUGAUGAAGCAUGUAUAUCUAGAAAUUAACAAACCUCAUCAGCCAAAACAAAUAUAAAAUUAAUAAAAUCAUCUGUCUCCAAACACACAGAUUAAAAUCAAAGCACAAAUGUUAUCACACAAAACCAAGACAACACAAGAUCCAUCACUAAAACACACAACUACUACUAAAAUCAAACACACAAACAAAAAUCUCAUAUAGAUUCAAACUUUAUCCCCAAAAUCAAGUAUAAUUACACAGUAAAAAGCAUUCGUUUACCUCUUCAUAAGGUGAAUUGUUGUUAAACUAAUCAGCACGGUCAACACCGGCAUCAAAAACUUGAAUGGCCUUUGGGGUUAUCGCCGACAGAACAGAUCUGAGUAAGCUUUGUAGAAAAUGAGAUAGAGACGGGGGAGGGAGGGGAGAGUUCAGAGGAGGGUGAGGGAGAGACAGAGGGCGAGAGGGAGGGGAGGGGCGAGAUGCUUUAACAAAUCAAUUGCGGCAAGAGUGGGGAAGACACAGCCGCACCAGAAGAGGAAGAGAUAGAUUCAGAAGAAGAGAGAUUUACUCUCACUUACAAAUUUUAGGUCAAAAUAGAGGGGGGGAAAUGAAAAUUUGGAUAAACAAGUAGAGAGGGAAUUGAAAAUUUUUGUAAGGUGGAAAUCAUUCGUUCAUCCCGUGUAAAUAACAAAAUCAAUGUAUUAUAAUAUCCAUAUAGUUGAAUUAUAAAUAAAUGAAUUUUUUAAAUUAUAUUUUUGUAUUUGAUUACAAAUAUUUCAUAUUAAAUAAAUUUUAAAAACAAUUUUAAUGUAGAUGUCAAUAUCUAAUUAUUUUAGUUAUUUGUGAAAAUCUUCAAAAAAUUAAAAAUUAAUCUGGUAAAUCUUUUUGACAAAAUAUAGUUGAAAUACAACUAUUUAAUAAAAAAUUAAUAAUUCUUUAAAAGUUAAAAUUCUCAUUUUCUCGAUGUAUUCCGUUUUUGUACUCUUUGUCUAAAUAAAAUAUACACAAAUUUUUAUUAUUCAUUUGUAAUAAGAAGAUAUUUGUGUGGUUCAAAUGUCAAUAUUAGUAUAAAUUUCAUAUUUACAAUAUAGGAUGUACUUAAUAGAAGUUUUGUGAUCUAUAUGAUUAACCCCGUAUUAAUUUUGAAAUAUUUUCGAUCAUCCAAACAUAUAAAGAUCUUAAUAUCUAUCAAUAUUAGUCAUGUAUAAUAUUUUUAAAUUUUUCUAUAUUUAUUUAUAUCUUGUUGUAACAAAACUAGUGAUGAUCGUUGUUUUUAUGUCAUUUCUUAUUUUUGUACUUUUUAUCAAAAAAUUAUAUUUAUAUUAUGCAUAUGUCCAAAUUUGUAUUAUUCAUUUGUAAUUGGAAGAUAAUUUUGUUGUUCGGACCUGAGUAUUACUAUGUGUUUUAUGUUCACAAUUUAGGAAGCACUAGAUAGAAUUUUUGUUAUCUACAAAAUUUGCUCUGAAUUAAUUUAUAAAUAUUUUUUUCGAUGAUAUAACCGUACGGAUGUUAAUAACUAACAAUAUUAGUCAUGCAUAAAAAAAUUAGAUUUUUUUAUGCUUAUUUUAUAUGCUUUUUUUACAAAACUAGUCAAUUGUAAAUUUUGUCUUAUUGUAAAAAGGUAAUUUUUGUCUUGUAGUGUCCAACAGACAACGGUACUUAUAGGCACGUGUGUUGUAUGAGUUAAAAUGACACAACUGUUAUGGACAUUAUACAGUCAUAACAAAAUCUAUUGUCUAAAAUAGGCUCAAACAAUGUUUCGGGAAAAACUCGUUGUGUGUAAGUAGUGUAGACAAUGGUUUCUGGGAGGCAAACCGUUGUAUAAUAAAUUUUCAUUUUUAAGAGUUAGAAAUUCACAUUUUCUUGAUUAGUUCUUGUUUUUGUACUCUUUGUCUUAACAAAUAUACUUAUAUUAUGUAUAUAUGCAAAUAUCAAUUGUCAUUUGUACUAUGAAGAUAAUUUUGUAGUUCGAACAUGAGUAUUGGUAUGUGUUUUAUAUUUACAAUUUAGAAAGUACUGAAUAGGAUCUUUGCUAUAUAUAAGAUUAGCUCCGUAUUAUUUUAUAAAUAUUGAUUUUGAUGAUCUAACCGUACGGAUGUCGAAAACUAACAAUAUUAGUCAUGUAUAAAAAAAAUCAAUUUUUUAUGUUUAUUUUGUAUGUUUUUUUUAACAAUACUAGUCAAUUGUAAAUUUUGUCUUACUGUAAAAAGGUAUUUUUUGUCAUGUAGUGUCUAACAUACAAUGGUUUUUAUAUGCACCUAUGUUGUAUAAUUGAAAAUGAUACAACUGUUACAGAAGUAUACCGUUCUAAGAAAAUCUAUUGUCUAAAUUAGGCUCAAACAACGGUUCACGGAAAAUCCGUUGUAAAAAAGUAGUGUAGACAACAGUUUAUGGGAAGGAAACCGUUGUAUAAUAAAUUUUCAUUUUUAUGAGUUAAAAAUUCGCAUUUCCUUGAUCAAUUCUUGAUCUAAUGCAAGAAAAACAUAUGACUAUCAAGAAAUUGAUUGUUUUGUUAUAACUUUGGUUAGGACUUUGAAUCUUUGCACUCUCUUAUGUACAUCCAUUUUCUUAAAAUUCAUUCAAUCAUACAACAUUUUAUUAGUUAGUAGAGGCUUGUCUAUAAUGCCAUGCUACAAUGCUAACAAAAACACUUGUAUGUUAGCUUCCCAGUCACACAACACUAUAUAAAACCCUUGUUUGAACUCCUCGUAAACAACACAACAAAUAAAACACUUGUCUAAUUACAACGACGGUUUCUUGAACUAUUGUCUGAAGUUUCUUCACACAUCGGCUCUCAAAACAGUUGUCUAACAUGCAUCAUUACACAAUACCACAGUUAAGAAACCAUUGUCUAAUUGAAUUUACUAGACAACAAUUUUUUAACCGUUGUAGGUCGUAGAUGUUAGACAAUAGUUUUUCGAGGCCGAAAAGAAAGUGUUGUGUCUUUUUUCCAAACAACGCUUUUUUCACCGUGCGUUGUCUGAUCAGUGUUGUCUAAUGGUGUUAUUGUUGUAGUGCAAGUUGGAUUUAUUUAAUGCUAAUAGGUACUUGUUCAAGUGAGGAGAUUUAACUGAGAUUCAGGUUCUGGCAUUUGUCUUGUGUUGUUAUUUGUUUAUGUACCGGUUUUGAGAGUCAUUAGAGAUAUGUAAGGUAUUUAUUCCUAUUUUUUAUUAUUAGUAUUACAUCGUUUUCGGGUAAAAUAAUCGAUGAUUGUUUGUUUUAACUGUGUAAUAGCCUUAUGAUCUGCCAACUUAUGUAGACAUGUGAUAAACAUGUUGACUGUGGUCAAUAUUUUAGAUGAGGUAGUGUGUUUGUUGUUAUUGCAAGACUUUUUGGAAUAAUCAUUGUCAAAAAGAACUAACGAUGAAUGGAAAUGAAGUUCUGAAGAAGUGAUGAUACAAUGUUAAAGAGAUUGCUUUUUGUUGAAUUUUUCUGACUCUGGAAUUAAACUGCGUUAGUAUCUUCUUCUCUGAUUUUCCUUAUUUGGUAGACCUACUACUUUCAGAAGAUACAUGUGGUAUUUGUUUGGUUGAUUAAUUUUGGUAAGAUACAGUUUCCGUUUGGAAUCAGACUAUCCAUUGAACAAUCAGACUAUCCAUUGAAGAUUUUAUGCUCGCUCUUAAAUGGUUGAUCCACUGAUCUUAUUCUUACUUCAUAUGAGCUAAAGCCAGCUCUAGGGGUGUUUCUCGCAUACAAAAAAAUUAAAAAAAAUAUUAUGAAACUAUACUUUGCAGGAGUCUCAAAAUAAAUAAGUGUAAACGAUAAACUUAAACACCUAACUUCUUAAACACCUAGCAUAACACGGGUGAGCAUAUGGUCAAUCAUACCAAAUUGAAUAAAUCGAAAUUAAAAUUUAAAUAUUUUUAGACUGGACCAAACUGAAAUAUUUUGUCCGAUCCAGUUCAGUAUGAUCGAAAAGAAUUGAUUCUUUUGGAAAAAGUAACUUAAUAUUAUAAAUAAAAUUAAGAUUUAUAAUUUAUUUAAAAACUAUCAAUGAAUCAUCAACACUUCUUCAAAAAUAGAUACAUUUGAAUUUAUACAUUAGAUAUUAUAACUUCUAAAAAGUAUAUAAAAAUAUAUAAUAUAAAUAUAAAUUUAUAGUAUAAUUUUUUUGACUAUUUAGAAUAUAUUUUUAACCCAAAUAUUUUUUUUUAAAAUCAAAUUUUAUUUCGAUGAACUUUUCUAGAAAAUUAAGAUAGAAACGAAACUCAUUCCUACAGUAAGGUUUCAGUUUUUCGGCUGCAAUACGGUUUUGCUCAUCAUUAGCAUAAAUGGAGUAUGUAGUAAAUAUGAAUGAAUGGCAUGGGAAUUCUUGGAAUGGUAUCAAGAAUUAAGAUUAAAGCACAUUAGAAGUUUAGAACCAUGAAUGUUAUUUUUGAAAAUAGUAAUCCCUCCGUUUCUUAUCACGUUUCUCGUUUGAUAUGUCGGAACGGUUCAUAAUAUGAGACAAAUUAGUAAUUUAUGUCCAAUUUAUAAAAUUAAAUAUAGUCAUGAGUGAUCUUGUUGGAUUCGUAUCUAUGAGUACUUUAAUAAGAUGAAAUUUUUAUAUUUAAUGUUAAUACAAAAUUAAAAUAUAUUAAUUAAAAAUAUAUAUUGACAAACGUGAUAAAAACAAACAGCAAAAAUAUUAAGAAACGAAGCGAGGGAGUAAUAAAUAUGCUUUAUGCUGAACUGAAUUGAGUGCGUGGAAGCUUGGGGAGGCAGCUUACUACAGUAUCUACGUGUAUCUGUAUAUGCAAUAAAGACACAAAUACUCACAGGAGAUUAUUUUUCAAACACUUAAUUUCCCCCUUUCCUUCUCGUAAUAUUCAACUCAAUUCAUCACAUCAUCUUCUUCAGACAAACAACUAUACUCACUUCAGAUCAUCACAUCAUCUUCUUCUUGACUUCAGAUCCACAUUUCAAACCCUAAUCAUUCGCUUGGUCCCCUCCCUCUCUGUAAUAAUACAAUUCUUUCUACACACAAACAAUAACAUCAUCAUCAUCGAGUGAAGCUUCAUAUCCACAUUCCAAGACCUAAUUACUCGCCAAACCACUCUCGCUCUCAUGGAGGAGGCCUUAGAAAUGGCGAGAUCGAAUGAUACCAAGAAGCGAAGGGCGGGAGUGGAUCGGCUGCAACAGCUUCUUGAAGAUUCAAGAAAGUGCUUGUCAUCGUCGGAAGUGACGGCGCUAGUCGACACGUGUCUUGAGCUUUUGAAGGACACGUGUGUUGCUGUCGUCGGCCGCGGAGUUGUUUAAGUUGCAUUCUGAUAGAAUUAUGACGGCGGUUGUUGAUAGGUUGUGGGAUGGGGAGCAGCGGGUUCGAGACUCGGCGAGGAGGCUGUUGAUUACCCUUAUGGAGGUAAUUUAUUAAUUUUCUUGGGGAAUGCCAGUUGAUUUUAUGGAAUGUGAUAUAGUAUAGUUUCUAUCAAUCGAGUAUCUUAAAUUGAUGACUACAACAAGUAUUAUCGUUUUGCACGCAAGUGGCUAAACUUUUAUGCAUGCCAAAUUGCCAAUCGGGUUUCAAUUUCAGAUCUCUGCCUUCACUUGCAUACGAACACAUUUGAGUUUAAAAAGAUGAAUCACCUCAUAAAUAUCAUUAAUAAUUAGUUGGUGUUAAUAGUGCACUGAAAAAUGGGAGAGAAUGACAAGACUAUAGACAGUAGUAGGGCUGAGCGAGAUGUUAAUUGAGUACUUAUAUGAUGCUUCACUAUGUUCAGGGAGUUAGUUUAUUGCUUCUUUCCUACACUUUCACUUGAAUUAGUACUAAUUAAUAAUUCCUUCUCUAUCUUGUAAAAUUUCUCCUUCAUUGCUAAGCAUAUCUACUCUGAUUAAUUUUCAAACAAACUUUACUACUGAGAUAGGAUUGUUUGCUGGGUAGGAGCACCAUAGAAUGAGUAGCUCUAUUGCUAUAUACUGAAGGGUGCGGUGGCAUCCUCGGUUAUAUUUUAAGUGCUACUUCGAAUUUAGUUGUUGGCUUUUGCAAUUUAUUUUCAUUCACAAUGUUUUAAUAAUGAUACCCCAUAUUAGGUGAGAGAUAUUAGUGCCAGGCUGGAGCAGAUUCAGAUUCAACCAGCAACUUCCGUCUCUUCCAUCUCUGAAGGACUUAAUAGUAAUCUUCUCCACCAUGCACCUGAUUUAGAAGUAUAAUGUAUUAAUGUGAACUUUUUAUUUAUAUUUAUUUCCAUGUGUAGUAAAACGAUCACAUCUUUUAAGAGCUUAGUACAAUGUUAUGUACAAUGUGUAAUUAAUUAAGAGGUUUGUACAUAGUUUAGUAUGAAAUGGAAAAAGUUUGUACAGAAGUUUAUUUGUUCACAUUACAGCUGAGACGAGCAAGCAAAAACCAUCAGAGAAUUCAAAGGAUAAUGAUAAAGGAAUUGAGCCCCUACUGGAACUGCCGGAAGAUAUUAUCUUUCUACAAAUUCUGCCUAAGUUGAACAGCCUAGAUGUUCUUCCCCUGGUUUUGGUGGCUAGGAGUUGGGCCUCCUUUCUUUUGCAUGAGGGACCCAGACUGAUGUUAUUCAACCCACCUAAAAAUCCUACACCUAAACACACUUCAAUUUUAUUUGAUGUAAGCCCGAUUCCGUACUCUGUUUCAGUUUUGUUAUCCCCAGAGAGCCGCCAACUGUGUCAGUCUAGGUGUAUAAUUGUUCCAAUCUUGAAUUCUGGUAUAAAACAUGCUGUUCCAAUUUUCACUGACUACCCAGAUUUUUUAAAGCAGGGGGAAGUCCCAACUGUAGUGGGAUCUUCCAGUGGUAUUAUAUGCCUCUAUAUCACCAGUUCUCCCUCUAGAUACAUCCUGCUAAACCCCUUAACAAAACAUUAUAAAGAGGUUGGGGCCCCUUAUAUUUUUGUACCAGAUUGUGAGCAAGCUUCUGUAACUUCUGGAUUCUUUUAUGAUGAAUGGACUGAUGACUUAAAGAUCGUACAAUUGUUGAGAUGGGAUCAAAGGCUUACGAGCUUGGAUGCUCCGGGACCCAAAAAGAUACAUGCGCUUCGCGUUUGUUCUGUAAAUUCUGCAAAUUGGGAAGUUGUUGACUUGGGGCCAAUGAAAGUCUCCGAUCGUCUUGGUGGUGUGUUAUUUUUGCCGAAAGCUCUCGUCACAUUUGUAGAUGCGUUUGCUACAGAGCCGGAGAUUAACUUUUGGUUGGAUUUUCGUGAUUGCCGUCUAAAGGCAGUUCCGGAAUUAGAAGGGGCUGAACUCAGUAUGAAAUCGGUUUGGUGGAAUAACCAGGUUGGUGUUAUUGUUGGAACUGACAGCAUUUAUGUCCUUGAUGAGGAGUUUGCAGCCUGGUAUUACUGCACAGUGCUUCCGGACGUGGGAAAUUGUGUAUUCUGUUUAGAUGAGAACAAAAUUGUGGGGAUGGGGGCUGGGGAAAGCGGAAGCGUAAAUGAUUACAAUAUUCUUAAUUCCACAAGCGGCGAAAUCCAACAUAUAAUCUCGUUGCCUUCUUGCAGGGUUUUUCCGUAUGUUCCUACAUUCUACUAUAUCGAGGGAAUGGCUAAUUUUUAGACUUUUGCAAGUCACAAUGUAAUAAAAGAAUGUAAACAGUACAUAGCAGCAAUACCUCUCUAUAGCAUAUAGUUUCAGAUACAACAUGUAUUGUGAUGCCAGCUUGUAGAGUACAAGUAUUAUUCUAGGUGAUUGAUUGUUGAGAAUAAUAGAGGCAACCGGUUGCAUGAUGGUAUCCUUGAAACUUUCAUAAUUACUAAUAUCGAACUCAGAUAGCAUGCAAUUUUUCCGGAGAUCAUAUUCUUUAGCUAUCAACUAACUCUACAUUAUAUAUUAUGUCCCAGAUCAAUGAGUUUGUUUGCUAUAAUGUCCUAUUUUAUAUGUGAUUUAGGAAUAUGUUCCAUUAACUUGUUAUCACCCUCAAAUCUAAAAUCUAAGACUACCAUGUCCUUAGUUUAUUUUGUUUAAUAUUUGUGAAUAGACUCUAAUCUGAUCAUAUCAAUUAUAUUUUAGUAACAGAUGUUUAAAUGCAUAUGUUUUUGUUAUCUAGUUAUUUCAAUGAUGAUGGGAUUAAAUUUUUUUAUUCUUGUAAUAUGUACAAUGAUUGGUUUAGCUUUAAUAUUUAUUUUUAUUUUUAUUUACCAAUUUUAAUGUAGGUAAAGUUUUAUCAGCAAAUUUUAUUUUUUGUAUGCAGUAAUCUGUUCUAAUAUCAAAUUUUGAUUUAGAUCGAGUAUUAGUAUGUUGAAUUUGCAUUCAUCUAGUUAGAUGAGUGAAACUGGCUAAUUAAUGGAAAAUCAUAAGUACCUGAGUUGUUUUCAAAUUUUUUUCCCAAAUUUUAAUUGUUUGAUUGGUUUCUUCAAAUUAAUAUUAAUGGAAUCAUGAACGCACAUAAAUAAUUUAAUUAAAAAUUAUUUAUUUAUGUGUCAUUUAGAAAAAAUUGGGGACAAAAUUUGGGAUAGUAAUGGGGACGAAAUAUGUGUUAGCGUUAAUGGUUUAGCGGCAGUGGAGAACGCAAUUUAAGAGCAAAUCCAAUAGUGUCCUAAACUAGUAUCCUAAAUUAAAAAUUAAGGUAUUUAUAUAAAUGAGUGCUCCACCUAAUGAGUGCUCCACCAAUGUCCAGUGAUACCUUAAAAUACUAGGAAAUCCAUCAAGCGUCUCGUUUUUAAGACAUCACUAGGCAUGCCCUAUUUCACUUCUAUCAAUAAAAUAUAUCUUUCCCUCGUUUUUUACAGAUCUCUUCUCUCUCAUUUUUUCCAUUUAUGCCCAAUUAUAAUUCAAAUAUAAUACACCUUCAGUCCCUUUUUAGUUGUGAAAUUUACAAAAAUAAUUUGUCCUUAAAUAAUAUUCUCAUCCUUGUUCCAAUACAUAUUUAUACAUAUUUUUUCAUGUUUACCCCUUGAUUGUUGGUUCAAAUGUUUGACUGUACUACUAAUAUAUACAGUUUUGACUUAGUAUUUAAUAUAAUAAAUAAGGGCAUGCGUGGAAACAACUUACAACAUUUAAUUUUCUUUAAUAUAUGUAUUUUUGCAAAUGUGACAACUAAAAAGGAACAGAGAGAGUAUUAUUUUAAUCAUAAAACAUAUUGUUGGAGUUAAUAUAAAAAAAUCAUGUCUUAAAUCAUAAGAUUACUAUAUUUAAUUAUAUUUAUAAGGCAUCUAAUAGUACAAUAUUGGAUUUGCUCUGAUCACAGAUCAAUCAAAUGAUCGGCAACUUAAGCGAUCAAAUGAGAUGACUCGCAUAGUCCACGCUAAUCGAUAUCCUUAAGAGGAUGUUUGCCUGGGCUUAAAGCCCUUGCUUUAAGCCAUCUUUGGCUUUAAGCUGAAAAAUGUCUGUUUGUGUAAUAAGUCAGAAGCCAGCCUAAAGUCAGAAAUAAGCCAGAAGCUGACUUAAAGCCAGAAGUUAAUUUGAGGUACUUUUUUCAGUGGCUAAAUUUUUUUGAACUUUUUUUUUGAUAAAAAUUACUCCUAAAUCAUAAGUUUCUUAUAAAUCACUUUUAUUUUUAUUAUUAUAUUUUUAAUAACUCAUAAGUCAUUCAUAAGCCAAAAUUACCCAAACAGACAUUUUAAGCUAUCAGCUUAUCAGAUAAGACACGUUAAGUCACAAGUCACAUUAAGUCAUAAGCCAUAAGCUCAGCCAAACGGGCAAGUUUUCUAAGAGACAUUCCUGCUUAGUGCAUUUUUAAUAGGGUUGCCUAAAUCGUUGACGAAAUUGGACAUGUGAGACAUUAUAUAAAAUUUGUUAAACAUGUAAGUGAUUGUGUUUCAAUAAUGUUAACUACAUUGAUAGAUUAUAACUUAAAAAUAGUAUGUUAUUAAUAUUUAGAUUGUUAUAAAAAAAUAUAUGAGUUUAAUAUGAUAGGAAAUGAUGUGUAAAUUACCCCGAUUAUAUAUAUAUAUAAAUAAUAAUAUAUUUAUAUAUAUUAUACUAAAUAUAUUAUUAAAAAUAGAUAAAUUUUAUAAUAUAAUCAAAAGUAAAAAAUAAUCUUUAUUUUUAUUGAUUGAUUAUAAAUAUAUUGUAAUAUAAUAUAUUUUAUAAUUUUAAAUUGUUGUUUAUUUAUAUUAUAAAUCAAUUUUAAUAUGAUUUGAGGUUGAAAAUAUAAGAUAAUAUUAUUUUAUUAUUAUAUUAGGAGUUUGUAGUUUGUUUUUUAAUUAAAAAAAUAUAUUAUAUAUUAUAAAAUUAUUAUGUUUUUAUUAAAAAAUAAAAUUCCCCGAAACCCCGCGGGGAUCCCCGUUCCCCGUUCGGGGCGGGGAUCGGGGCGGAAAAUAAUCCCCGUUCGAGGUUCGGGGCGGGGUCGGGUAGGGCCGUAGGGGUAUUGAAUUCGGGGAUCGGGGUCGGGGAUAGCACUCCCCGCCCUCGAAGUCUCCCCGUGCCCAUCCCUAGUCGAACCUCUAGAGGUCCGUAAAAAAUCUCCAAGAAGAUUACACUAUGUAAUCUUCUUGGAGAUUUUUUACGGACCUCUAGAGGUUCGACAAAUAUAGUGGCCGGUAGGAUGUUGGUUAAAAUUAUAGAUAAGUGGUGUCUAUGGUUGAGUGUGAUUUUUUUGAAUAGAAUGGCUAUAUAUUUUAUUUUUGGGAUGCCAACUCAAUUUUUAAACUAAGGACUUCUCAUAUUUGGAGAUGCUAUAUGAUGGCAAAUCCCGCAAAUCUUCAAUUUUGACAUAUAUUAUCCUAAAUUCUCUUUCAACAAUGAUUGAUUCAAAUUUGGAUCAAGAUUGUUGGAUCCCGCUGACGUGGCAGUGACGUCAUGUUGACGUGGCGCCCUGGGGUGGACCCCGGUGCUGACGUGGCAGAUGACGCGGCGGUGACAUGGCGCCUGGUUGGGGUCCCAUUACUAACGUGGCAUUUGGGUAGAAAGUAUAAAUUACGGAAAAUUGAUGACAAACUGAGAGGUGCAUAUUAUAAGUUUUAAAAAGUAUGAGGAGAUAUUUGAUCAGUUUAAAACUAGUUUUUAGGUUUUUAGGCUAACCGUGGUUUGUAUAUUCGAGCAUCCCCGUGUAUAUUGACAUAUAGGUAAACUCCUUGCAAUACUUUGAGCUGCAAAAUCCAUCAAAAUUUUGAUUUAUCAUGUAACUGUUUGACAGAGUACUUCCAACUUUCAAGCGUAAGUAUCAAAAUCACUACCUUCAUAUGUUCCAUUAAGCGUGAAAGGUACAGAAUAAGAAGUGAAAGAAAUCCUUUAUAUUUACACGGCCAUUGAUCUUAUAGGAUCACCUAGCCCAUCAGUGCUAGGGAAUACGGAACCAUCUUAUCAAUUAACGAAGAAAUGUAUGCAUGCAGUGUCACCACCACAAGUCAGAAAUGGUGAUGAUGCUAAUGAUAAUGAACUCAAUUGGGAGUGAUCCUAAUGGGAUAUGGAUGUGGAUUGGUAUGCGGAUUCUUUGGGGUUUAUUGUUCUUACAAUGGGAAAGCCUUGGUGGUUUAUGAGAUACAUUGAAGUAAGUUGAUAAUGACAUGCACGGCUUAAUUAAGAUUAAUUAAGACAAACACCUUGACAAAAUGUUGUCUUAGAAUGAUAUGUAUUCUGAUUUUUCCUAAUUUAAAAUCAAAUUUAUUACAAUUAAAGUUAAAAUCUGCGUAGCACAUACUAUACUUUGAUUAAAUUUUUAUUGAAGUUGUCCAUAUUAACCUAGUGGCCGAAAGUGAAUAAAUUAAAUUAGUGGGGUCUAAUAUAAAAAUUGCAUUAAUUAAAAUUUGUAAUGUAUAGAUUAUGCUAAAGCUAUUCAUUAUAAAGAACAUAGGAAUGUUAAUCUCUUUAUAUGUUUGCAUGCGGAUAGUCUCUCGGGAGUGUGGUAUAUUGUCAUGGCUGGAAAAACGGCUAAUUUCUACGGUUUUUUUUUGACAGAAAUUAAUUUUGACGGAAUACUGUCGAAAUAUCGAAAGUCGAAAAUAAGCCGCAAAAUUACUUUUUUCAAUUUUCAAUUGAAAACUGUCAAAAAAGUCUCUGGCAAAAUUAUAUUUAUUUCUACAGAUAAUGUCGAAAAUAUUUUCCUGCAAAUUUCCCGCACCUUAGUUGUGAGCGGAAAUAGAUAGUUUGGACAGAAUUCCGUCGAAAUUACGCGAGUUCUUUGUAGUGUGUUUUCACACAUACGCUGAUAAUCUUUGGGGACUGGGGUAUAUUGUUUUCGCAAAGCACUGGUAGUUUGUGAGCUUGUCCAAUUUUUCCCCCCAUGCCUAUACUGGUUGGUCUCAGUCUUAGUGGUAAUAAGCUGGCGUCAAAUUUUCCAGAAUUCAUAUAUAAUUGCUAUAACAUGAUCCGAUGCCUGAAUCAGCAGCUAACAAUUUACGUAAUCUUGAAGAACUAUAUCUUGGUGCCAAUUCUUUCGAGGGCUCAUUUCCAACGAAUAUAUUCAAGCUUUCCAAAUUAAGGGUUCUUGACCUAUCUGUGAAUAAUUUUUCAGGUUCCAUUCCCAAUGGUAUAGAGAUGCUUCCCGAUCUUGGAAUAAAUCGUAUUUAUAAUAAUUCAUUUGAAGGAAUUAUUCCUUCUUCAAUUAGUCUACUUAAAGAUCUUCAACACCUAGACUUCGGUGACGACAACCUUGUGGUUUCAAGUAUAAUGUCUUACGGGUCCAAUCUAACCGAUCAUUACAGGCAACCCCAUUGGAGAUGCUCUUAAUAACAUUUUAACUAGAGAGUAUUUUCUAUCAAUUGCAUUUGUAUUAAAUUUGAUUUAGAUGAAGAGAAACAGAAUACAUAUGAUCCCGAGACAACAUUUUGUCAAUGUUUUCGUCUUGAUUGAACAGUCUUCUUCAUGCGUGUCCUUGUCAACUUCAGUUGCAGUAAUUCAAUGUAUCUCAGGAACCACCUUGGCUUUCCCAUUUUGAUAACAAGUAUCCUGAAGAUAAUCCGCAUAUCAAUCCACAUCCGCGCGUAUCCCAGUUGAUUUAUUAAUUUAUUCAUGAAGUGUUGCGAACGACAUUCCUGCAAAAGUAAAAGUCAGUGGAAUUUGUAUGAUAGCAUGAUGAAUAUUUAAAGUUUCAGUUAAAAUUUCACCAAGUAUUUUAUUUCUGGCUUAAGUCCCGGAUUGACGAAUUCUGCUGAUCACAUUUCUAAUCGACCAAUUCUGGUCGAAUAAAUUAAAUGGCACACUUCCUGAGUUGGUGGUAGGGGCGUUCUUCUUGUGUUUCUUUCUUUUCAUUAUUGACAUUGUUAUCCAGGCCCUUGCUUCUGGGCUUUUGUAAAGCACCCAUUUACGCCAUUGUCAUGAUCAUAGCUAGUCUUCCAUAUCCAAGAUACGCGCAUUAUAGUGGAUUUAUCUUUAUUAGUGAUUUCUGUGGAAAUGCAUAAUCUUAAUUAUAAGCUCCAAUAUUAUAAAAUAAACCUAACUUAUUAGAGUUAACAGGGCAUUUGUGUUGAUAAUUUGCGCAAUGUUAAUGGGGAUCGCUCCCAAGUCUUGGACGGACUCUUUCCAAGUCUUCUGAGGACCCAUCUGCACACUAAUUUGUCCGCCAACUAAAAAUUUAUAUAUAUUUUUCCAUAGAAUAUAAAUAGUUGGGGGUACUAACAGAACCUCUAGUAAAAUUAAUUAAUACCGUUAUGAUUUCGCAAACACAGCAGACAGCAGGCAUAAGGCUUAUAAAUAGAAGUGUCGUAUUUGGUUGAUGGUCAAGUUGAGUGGAAAUAUGGCACACUUUGUAAAGCCUUGUUAUCCUCUUCUCUUUGUUUUCUUUCUCUCAUUACUUCAAUCCAUUCUAACAACACAAGAGGGAGAAGCUCUUGUGAAAUGGAAGAAUAGCCUAGCCCCUUCUUCUUUUCUCGACUCUUGGUCACUCACCAAUCUCGAUAAUCUUUGCAACUGGACUGGCAUUACUUGUAACUCUGCAGGUUCAGUCUCUGAGAUUAACCUUAGUGAGAAACAACUUGAUGGAAUGCUGUCCGAGUUUGGUUUCACUUCAUUUCCAAAUCUCAACAAUCUCACCCUCGCAAUUAACUACUUCUCGGGUCCAAUACCACCAGCCAUUGAGAAUUUAACACAGCUUCAAUAUCUUGAGUUGAGCAAUAAUUAUCUAGAUGGUCCCAUUCCUUUCCAGGUUAGCAAUCUUCAGAGGUUGCUCAUCUUAAACCUGUCAGAGAAUGAACUGCAAGCUCCAAAUUGGUCCAAUUUUUCCCCCAUGCCUUUUUUGACCAUCCUCGACCUUUAUAAAAAUAAUCUUUUGUCAGAAUUUCCCGAAUUUAUAUCUAACUCGUGUAACCUUACGUACCUUGACCUCUCAUCCAACAAGUUUAGAGGGGAUCUUGCGCGAGAAUCAGUAUUAACCAAUCUAGGUGAUCUUGAAACCCUCUAUCUUAUUAGAAAUUCUUUCAAGGGGUCAUUUCCGUCAGAUUUAUUCAAGCUUUCUAAAUUAAAACGUCUUCACCUGUCGAGCAACAAAUUUUCAGGUUCAAUUCCUAAUGCCAUAAGGUUGCUUUGUGAUCUUGAAUUCCUAUAUUUAGGCAACAAUUCCUUUGAAGGACUGCUUCCACCAAAUAUAUUUAAGCUUUCAAAAUUAAAACAUCUUGUUCUUCGGAGUAAUAAGUUUUCAGGAUCUGUUUCCAAUGAUAUAAAUUUGCUUCCUGAACUUGAAUAUCUCGAUCUUAAUUCUAAUUUUUUUGACGGGCCGCUUCCUCCAGAUGUAUUCAAGCUCUCCAAACUAAGGUUUCUUUACCUCUCGGGUAAUACCUUUUCACGUUCUGUUUCCAAUGAUAUAGGUUUGCUUUCUGAGCUUGAAACCCUCGAUCUUAACUCUAAUUUUUUGAGGGUCCGCUUCCGUCAAAUAUAUUCAAGCUCAAAUUAAAAAUUCUAGACCUCUCAAACAAUAGAAAUUUAUUUCAAAGAAGUUUUCCUAUUGGACUGGAACUCUUGAGUAACCUCAGCUACUUAGGUCUAAGUUCCAGUAAUCUCAGUGGCAAUAUUCCAUCUUACAUUGGAAACCUGAAGCUACUAAUAUCUCUUGAUCUCAGUUCUAAUCAAUUGACUGGACCGCUUUCAAAGCUCGUUUCUAAUGUCACAAAUCUUAUAUUUCUUGAUUUAAGAGAUAAUAGUCUUAGUGGAAAUAUUCAGACUGACUUGUGGAAAUAUAACGAUCAUCCAACUCUGGAAUACAUCAAUUUGAGUGGGAACUAUUUUACGGGUAUAGUUUUUCUCUAUAGAUCUUUUCUUUUGUCAUAUGUAACUAAGCUAGUAAUCUGAUUAAUUGCAGUUUUACCAAAGUUUCAACAAUCUUGACAGGUGAGCUUCCAACAACAAUUUGCAAUGUCACUUCCCUUUCGGUUCUUGAUUUGUCAAAUAAUAACUUAAGUGGUGCACUUCCAAAAUGUUACGGGAAUCUUGCUGAUGGAUUGCUUUACAUUAAUCUUGCGAAUAAUCACUUUCGAGGAACAAUACCCACUACUUUCUCCAGGAGUUGUCAGCUGAUAUAUCUGAACAUGGAUGAUAAUGAGUUUGAAGGAUUGAUGCCCCCAUCUUUGGCGAACUGUAAGCACUUGAAAAUUUUUGAUAUUGGCAAUAAUAAAAUAGGUGGUACAUUUCCGUCAUGGCUUUAUGCACUUGGAGAGCUAGAAGUCCUUGUCUUGCGAUCAAAUAAACUCUAUGGUACAAUAAGUGGAAGGAGCAUAGAAGAUCCCUUCCCCAAGUUGCGGAUUGUGGAUCUGUCCAACAAUCAAUUCACAGGCCAUUUGCCAAUUCAAUACUUUAAGAAUAUGAAAUCAACUGAUAAUUUGUAUCGUUAUCAGAAUGACACAGGAGUUUUUUCUUUCCAUUAUGAAGCAUCUGUCUCAUUAACUGUGAAGGGAACAGAGUAUGAAGUGAAAAAUAUCCUUCAUAUUUACACAACCAUUGAUCUGUCCUGCAACAAGUUUCAAGGAGAAAUUCCUGACGUUAUUGGAGAGCUUAGAUGGCUUGCAUUGCUGAACUUAUCUCAUAAUAGUCUAACAGGACAUAUCCCAUCAUUGCUGAGAAAUAUGAAAGGACUCCAAUCUUUAGAUUUGUCUUCAAAUCAACUGAAAGGGGCUAUUCCACUUCAGUUAACUGCAUUGACAUUUCUAGAGGUCUUGAACCUCUCGGGAAACCAUCUUAGUGGAGAGAUUCCUCAGAAAGGGCAGUUCAGCACAUUUAACAUUGAUUCUUAUCUAGGAAACUCCGCGUUAUGUGGUUCACCUUUGAUGAAGAAAUGUGCAAACACAGCAUCACCUCCACAAGAAGCCGGAAAUGGUGAUGAAGAUGAAGCUGGUGAUGAAUUGACAUGGGAAGCAAUCGUGAUGGGAUAUGGAUGUGGACUGAUAUGUGGAUUGUCAUCUGCAUACAUUGUUCUCAAACUAGGAAAGCCUUGGUGGUUUGUGAGAUAUAUCGAAGUACUGCAACAGAAGUUGAUGAAAAGAUAUGCAUGAAGAAAGGUACUGGUAGAUCAAGAUGAACUUGAAAGUUGUUGUCGUGGUAGACAUUUGUGAACCAGUAGUGUACUAGCUGCAUAAGUAUUUGGUAUUAUGUAAUAAUCCGUUUGGUCGGGACUCAAAAUGAUUUCUCUUGCUUCAGGGGUAUUAAUAUUAACCUUGCUAUCUUGAUCAAUGUUAGGGCAAAUUAAAAAGAAUAUAAAAGCAAAAAAUUUGCAUCAAACACCUGUUGUACCAACAUGCAUCCAUUAAUUUGCUUUCAUCUAUUAAGUAACAAUUUAAGAGCGCUUCCACUCUGUUUAAGCAUGGAGAUAACACAAAGAAGGCAAGUCCAUGGACUAAUAUAUUAACACGUAGUCCACAUCUAUGGUAUGAACAAUUCAUAUUGCUCUUCUAUCUGUUCAACAGUCUCCCGAAGAUAGGCCAAAAAUGUCAUCUGUGGUUCUUAUGUUUGUCAGUGAAGGAGAAUCUCUGAUGCCUACACAACCUGGUGUUUUUACAGAAAGGAAUGUAGGUGAAACCAGGGGCGUAAAAUGAAUCAGGACUAAAAUCUGCUAAAAUGAUAAUUAUUUACUCAUCAUUCAAGAUUAGUCGGGCUCAAAGAUUUAUAUGGAUUUUAAGAACAAACUAUGACUAAAUAUGAAAAAAUCAUUAAUUUUUCCGACUCAAUAUUUUUUAGCCUCCCCCGGCCCUGGGUGAAACCAUAAGCUUCUCUGGUGCACAUCCAAAUCAUUCAGUUGGUUCUACUUUCAGCUCACCCACAGGAACAUCAUUCUGCAGGUACUCUUUUAUCUGUACUUUCUUAUAUUGUAUGCCAGUAAAUUUUAUAUCGACAAACUGCACAAUACACCUCGAUCUCAUAUUAUUGACAGGUGAGCUCCUCUCAUAAUGCUCACAGGCGAACCCCUGCAUAUAUACUUUGUGAUGUCAUUGAUGAUCGAUAGACUUGAAAAAAAAUUAUGACAAAGAUUCAUAAAAUAUCUACUUCCAUCCUAAUUCAGUAUUCAAUAUUAUUCAUUCGUAUCAUCAUCCAAUCAAUUCUAAUAGUUCUUCUUUAAAUCAGUACAAAUAUUGUUAAAUACCUGGAUGAUGGUUGUCUUUCCGCGAACCAAUCAUGAAAUUACCUCUGUAUAAAUCCAUCGGAAAUAAGACAGUUAAUAUCCCAAUCGAAUACACCCCGUCAGUUGUCAAACUCCUCGAAACGUAUUAAUCACUUUAGAAAAUUUGUUCCACUGGCGCUAGUCAGUCCCAGAGUUGGUGGUGGGUGCUUCUGGGCUUUCGAAAAGCACCCAUUUACUCCAUUGUUUAGAGAAGUAAAACCCCACCUUCCGCUCAUUUGAUUGAUCAGCUGAAUUAGGCAGAGUUUACAUGGUCAUGAUCAUAGUCUCCCAUNUUAAUAGUCUGACAGGACCUAUCCCAACAUUGCUGAGAAAUAUGAAAUAACUCCAUUACUCCAAUCUUAGAUUUGUCCUCAAAUCAACUGACAGGGGCUAUUCCACCUCUGUUAACUGCAUUGACAUUACUUUUCUCUUUAUAUUCUUUCCUUUUGUAUGUACCUAUGCUAAUUAUCUGAUUAUUAAAAUUAUAACAAAGCUUCAAGAUUUUUAACAGGUGAGCUUCCACUAAAAAUUUGCAAAGUCACUUCCCUUUCGCGUCUCAUUAUGUUAGAUAAUGGGUCAAGUGGUGCACUUCCACAGUGUUUGGGGAACCUUUCUUUGCUUGGUUUCAAUAAUCUUGCUAAUUAUCAAUUUCAAGGACCAAUACCAACGACUGUCCAAGACUUGUCUGUGCAUAUCUAAACAUCCAUAACAAUCACUUUGAAGGUUUGUUGCUCCAAUCUUUGGCAAACUGUAAACACUUACAAAUUCUUGAUAUUGGAAACAACGUUGGAGAGCUAGAUGUCCCAGUUAGGGCGGUAAUUCGACUAGAGCAAACCGAGUUUUGAGCGGAGCCAAAUUCGAGCCAAGUUUAAUCGAGUCGAGCCGAGUCGGCUCGUUUAGCUAAUCGAGCCUAAAACUUAGCCCGAACUCGACUCAUUUAAUUUCACGAGUCGAGUCGAGCCAACUCGUUUAGCUAAAUGAGCUGAUUUUAACAAGUCGAGCGAGCGAGCUCGUAUAAUUUUAACUUAGUCGAGCCUGAAUCUCUACCCAAACUAUUGGCUCGUGUAAUUUCGCGAGUCGAAUCGAGCCGGCUCGUUUUAUUAAACAAGCCGAAAUUUUUGCCCGAAUUUGCUCGUUUAACAAGCCGAUCUGAGCCUAGUUAAAUGAGUUCGAGUUAGUCGAGCUCGCGAGCUGCGAGCUCACCUGCCAGCUCUAGUCCUAGUCUUGCAAUCAAAUAGGUUUAACGGUAUAGAAAGUGGAAGGAGCACAAGGCAUCCAUUCCCCAAGGCUAUUUACCAAUUCAGUACUUUGAGGAUACAAAAUCAUUCUGCAGGUACUCUUGUAUCUGUACUUUCUUGUACUGUAUGCCACUUUGACAGUAGAGUAAAAUUUAUAUCGACAAACUGCAUAUGUUCUGAACUACUCCUCUAUCCCAAAUUAGAUGAGCUAGUUGACUUUGAGCACGUAACUUAAGGUACAUUGACCAACUAGUUCCGAUAUUUAUUUUUUUAAUUUUUCUUUUGUAAAUGAAAAUUUCAUAUUUAAAUUUUUAUUUGCAAAACUAAAAUUUAAAAAUAUGUAAUGUGGCUAUGCGGUCAAUGUCAACGAGCUCAUCUAAUUUGGGAUUGGGAUGCAGGGAGUAUUACGUACUAUGUUAUGCAAGCUGUUUACAACUUUCAUCAAAAUUUUCAAACAUUUCUGAAUAUGUAUUUUCAAAGAAUUCUCGGGCACUCUUAAGGCCUAUAAUUAUUGGAACUCUCACGUUAUGGACCAGAGGACCACUAUGUAUUUUACAAGCACGACGAAUCAUGUGGUCAUUAUGGACUCCCCAAGCCUUAGAGGACUCAUUCCAGGUUUUAGGAGGACCACUGCCUAGCUCACCCUUUCGGAGUGAUGUAAAUUAGUUUCCAGACACUAAAAAUAAGUAAUCAGAUUAAUCAUUACAAAAUUUUGAUAUAAAAUCAGAAUAAAUCCUAAACUUUGAUGAUACAAAAAAAAUUAUAAUUGUAAAUUAUACAAUCAAAUUAAGAUCGAAUUAACUUCCCUCACACUUAAAAUUUAUAGCGAUCAAAUCAAAAUCGAAUUAACUUUCCUAUUACUAAAAUUUAAUUACAAUAUUAUUAGAUAAAGAGAAUAUAUAAUAAUCAAGAGAAAAUAGAUUUUUUUUUGCCACUCAACUUAUUGUGUUUUAAGAAACUUACCACCCAACUAAAUUUUUUUCCUUUUGCUCACUAAUGUUAGGUUUGGAUUUGUUUUUAGCCACCAAAUAAGGUUCGGAUUUGAUUACCAGCAUUAUGAUAAUUUUUUUUGUCACUAAACUUAUUGCGUCUUUAGAAACUAACCACUGAACUAAAUUUUUUUUAUUUUACUCACUAAUGUUAGAUUUAGUUUUUUUUGUCACUAUAGUUAGGUUCAGAUUUGAUUAUUAGCAUUACAUUAAUUCUGUGUAGCAUUUUUAAAAUAUGGUAGUAGUCUGUGAUAUUUAGAUGAUUUGAUAUAUGUCUGUAUUUUUAUAUAUAGUAUAUUUUAUGUCCCCAAGGUCGUUUACCUUGGGUCAUAAAAAUUUUACACUCAUUUUAUGACUUUUAAAAGAUGUAGUUUCAUAAAUAAUUUUAUUUUUUUCUUUCGAAUUAAAAUUCAGCAUUUGAAUUUUACACACAAAAAAAUCGCAAGAAUAAGAUAUGAAACUAUGCUUUACAAGAGUCUUAAAAUACGUGCUAAACGGUAGAAAAAACUGUAAACUAAUGAGAGGUACAUAGGGAGUAAUAAUAACAUAAAAUGAUGCACAAUCAUCGAAUUAAGUUUUCCUCUCUCUAUAUAUUUAUUUUGUAAAUUUUAAUAAGAUAAAGUUAUUAAAAUUUAUGAUAUAAAUUUAAGAGAUAUCUUAGAUUGAGUGGCAAAAAUUUAGUUGGGUGGUAAGUUUCUAAAAACACAAUAAAUUGAGUGGGAACAAAAUCUAUUUUCCCAAUAAUGAGUGGGAAUAAAAUCUAUUUUCCCAAUAAUCAAAGUGACGAAAAAUCAAAGUCAUCUAAUAAGUCCAGAAAAAAUAUGACCAUUAGUAUAUUGAAAUAAUAUUCACGCAUUUAUAUACGAGAAUAUAUGGUCCACAAGUUAGUGCACAAUGUCCAAGAAUCUUUAUCAAAUAACACGGCAAGCAUGCAGCAUAUAAAUAAGAGUGGGCAGUAUGGUAUUGCAUUCAUAACCCACUUGAGCAGAAAUAUGGCACACUUCCUAAAGCCUUCUCACCUUCUUCUCUUUGUUUUCUUUCUCUCGUUACUUCAAUCCAUUCUACCAACAAGACCAGAGGGAGAAGCUCUUGUGAAAUGGAAGAAUAGCCUAGCCCCGUCUUCUUUUCUCGAUUCUUGGUCACUAACCAAUCUCGAUAAUCUUUGUAACUGGACUGGCAUUACUUGUAACUCUGCAGGUUCAGUCUCUGGGAUUAACCUUUAUGAGAAACAACUUGAUGGAAUGCUGUCCGAGUUUGGCUUCACUUCAUUUCCGAAUCUCAACAAUCUCACCCUCGCAUACAACUUCUUCUCGGGUCCAAUACCACCAGCCAUUGAGAAUUUAACACAGCUUCAAUAUCUUGAUUUAAGCAUCAAUAGUCUCGAUGGUCCCAUUCCUUUCCAGGUUAGCCAUCUUCAGAGGUUGCUCGUCCUAAACCUGUCACAGAAUGCAUUGCAAGCUCCAAAUUGGUCCCAUUUCUCUUCCAUGCCUUUUUUGCGCAUCCUCAAGCUCAGUAGGAAUCAUCUUGUAUCGAAAUUUCCAGAAUUUAUAUCCAAUUCUCAUAGCUUGGCUAUCCUUGACCUUGGCCAGAACAACUUUACAGGUGAUCUUGUGCGUGAAUUUACCAAUCUACAAAAUCUUGAAACCCUCUGGCUUUAUCGUAAUUCUUUUGAGGGGCCAUUUCCGCCGGAUAUAGUCCAGCUUUCCAAACUAAAAGAUCUUGCCCUGUCAAGUAACAAAUUUUCAGGUUCAGUUCCCAAUAACAUAAGGUUGCUUUGUGAUCUUGAAUACCUAUAUUUAGGCAACAAUUCCUUUAAGGGGCCACUUCCACCAAAUAUAUUUAAGCUUUCAAAAUUAAAACAUCUUGUUCUUUGGAGUAAUAAGUUUUCAGGUUCUGUUUCCAAUGAUAUAGGUUUGCUUCAUGAGCUUGUAACCCUCAAUCUUAACUCUAAUUUUUUUGAGGGGCCGCUUCCGCCAAAUGUAUUCAAGCUCUCCAAACUAAAGUUUUUUGCCCUUCAUGAGAAUAACUUUUCAGGUUUUAUUUCUAAGGAUAUAGGUUUGCUUUCCGAACUUGAAAUCCUCUAUUUUGGCUCUAAUUUUUUUGAGGGGCCGCUUCCUCCACAUGUAUUUAGGCUCUCCAAAUUAAGAGGUCUGGACCUCUCACACAAUAGAAAUUUAUUUGAAGGAAGUAUUCCUAUUGGACUGGGACUCUUGACUAACCUCAGGUACUUAGAUCUACAUUCCAAUAAUCUCGGUGGCUAUAUUCCAUCUGACAUUGGAAACCUGAAGCUACUAGUACUUCUUGAUCUCGGUUCUAAUCAAUUGACUGGACCGCUUUCAAAGAUCGUUUCUAAUCUCACAAAUCUUAUAUGUCUUGAUGUAAGUCAUAAUAGUCUUAGUGGAAAUAUUCAGAGUGACUUGUGGAAAUAUAACGAUCAUCCAACUUUGGAAUACAUCAAUUUAAGUGGGAACCAUUUUACGGGUAUAGUUUUUCUCUAUAGAUCUUUUCCUUUUCUCAUAUGUAACUAAGCUAGUAAUCUGAUUAUUGCAGUUUCACCAAAGUUUCAACAAUCUUGACAGGUGAGCUUCCAACAACAAUUUGCAAUGUCACUUCCCUUUCGGUUCUUGAUUUGUCAAAUAAUGAAUUAAGUGGUGCACUUCCAAACUCUUUGGGGAAUCUUGCUGAUGGAAUGCUUUACCUUAAUCUUGCUAAUAAUCAGUUUCGAGGAACAAUACCAACUACUUUCUCCAGGAGUUGUCGGUUGACAUAUCUAAACAUGGAUAAUAAUGAGUUUGAAGGAUUGUUGCCCCCAUCUUUGGCGAACUGUAAGCACUUGAAAAUUCUUGAUAUAGGCAAUAAUAAAAUAGGUGGUACAUUUCCGUCAUGGCUUUAUGCACUUGGAGAGCUAGAAGUUCUUGUCUUGCGAUCAAAUAAACUCUAUGGUACAAUAAGUGGAAGGAGCAUAGAAGAUCCCUUCCCCAAGUUGCGGAUUGUGGAUCUGUCCCACAAUCAAUUGACAGGCUAUUUGCCAAUUCAAUACUUUAAGAAUAUGAAAUCAACUGAUAAUUUGUAUCGUUAUCAGAAUGACACAGGAGUUUUUUCUUUCCAUUAUGAAGCAUCUGUCUCAUUAACUGUGAAGGGAACAGAGUAUGAAGUGAAAAAUAUCCUUCAUAUUUACACAACCAUUGAUCUGUCCUGCAACAAGUUUCAAGGAGAAAUUCCUGACGUUAUUGGAGAGCUUAGAUGGCUUGCAUUGCUGAACUUAUCUCAUAAUAGUCUAACAGGACAUAUCCCAUCAUUGCUGAGAAAUAUGAAAGGACUCCAAUCUUUAGAUUUGUCUUCAAAUCAACUGAAAGGGGCUAUUCCACUUCAGUUAACUGCAUUGACAUUUCUAGAGGUCUUGAACCUCUCGGGAAACCAUCUUAGUGGAGAGAUUCCUCAGAAAGGGCAGUUCAGCACAUUUAACAUUGAUUCUUAUCUAGGAAACUCCGCGUUAUGUGGUUCACCUUUGAUGAAGAAAUGUGCAAACACAGCAUCACCUCCACAAGAAGCCGGAAAUGGUGAUGAAGAUGAAGCUGGUGAUGAAUUGACAUGGGAAGCAAUCGUGAUGGG
This 71539-nucleotide long non-coding RNA is filed under the name Daucus carota (carrot). Its description in RNAcentral is "long non-coding RNA (DCAR_LNC002601)". The record is from RNAcentral. Lineage: Eukaryota; Viridiplantae; Streptophyta; Magnoliopsida; Apiales; Apiaceae.